UUUUUUUUUCUGGGUUGCAGGAGGGGGAAGAGGGAGUUGGGGGGACAAACUGAGGGUGGGUGCGGGGGAAGACAAAUUGGAAUUUUUUUUUUUGUUGGGGGUUGCAAGUGGGGGGAAGAAGAUGAAGAUGGGGAGAAGAGAGAGGAGGGAGGGAAUGGGAAGGACGAACUGAGGAUUGUUUUCUUUUUUUCUUUUUUAUUACUUUUCUUUCUUAUUUUAAUAUUUAAAAAAAUUAAAUAAUUUUUUUUUUUAGUUUUUAAUAAUAUUUUAAUGAUUUUUUAAUAGAAAGUUGGCUCCGAAUCAAGUCACGUCAGUAUUUAACUAAAAAGUAAACGGCCAAGUAACAGAAGGUAUAACAUUAGACCAAAUUCUAAAGAUGAGGUAUGACAUUGUCAAUUUUAAAAGAUGAGGUAUGAAAGUGUCGUGACAUCAAUAGUUGAGAUAGUUUUUUGUACUUUACCCUAAUAAUUAUGAAUAUGAAAUAUUUGUCAUAGCAGAACACCAAUUGAAAAUUAAUCUCCAAAAAGAUAGUAUAUAUCUCUAAUCUUAGAAAGCUAGAAAUCAAGCUUGGUGUCUCAAGGCUUCACCAAAAAUAAUUAGACUAAAGAGCCCCUUAAACAAAAAAACCCAAAACUGGCUAAAAAUAAUAGAACCAAAUUCUCAUGGGUAAUUUUGUCAUAAAAAAUAAAAAUAAAACAAUUUUUUUUAAAAGGACUAAAUAAAAUGGAUUAAAGCCAUGUGGGUUAAGCGUGUAAAGGGAAGGAGUUUUAUAACCAUCUAUAUAUUAUUAUUAGGAGAACCCUUCUUGUCAACUUUUUGCCUUUUUUUUUCUAUUUUAUCCUCAUUAUUGAUACACAAUACUUACAUAAGGAGGACAAAAUAGUAAUUUUCUAUCUUUUGAGAAAAUGAAAAUCAUAUUCCUAUUUUUUCUAAUUUACCUUCACUUUUGAUACACAAUAUUUACAUAAGAUGGAUAAAACAGUAAUGAUGUAAUAUUAAGAUAAAAUAUGCAGUUAUUAAGAGAAAUUGUCGCACCAUCAUUUUUUUAUACUCUUUUUAAAAUUUUAAAAACUAAUCACACUCUUUAAUAAAAAAAUAAAAAAUAAAAUAAAAUUAUUCACACACAUAAAAUAUGUGUUCAUCGGUCGGUAUAAAUAAAAAAUUAGACGAUGGUAAGCAAAAGUGGUGACAUGUGAUGUAAAUCUUAGGCCCACCCCGCAUGCCACAUGUGAUCCAUCCACCGUUGCGUGACGUUUAAUGACCUCCACUUGUUUAAAUACUCGCGAUUUCCGCAGAUUCUUGGUGAUCCUUCCCUUCCGUCAAAUAACUACUAAUAUUAACAGAUGGUUGAAAAAUCUAUAAUACCCUCUCUCCCGUGUUUGAGGAAUUUUGGAUUUGAGGUCGGGUUUGCGUAAUUAACACCAAAAUGUAAGGGUAAAUAUGUCCCGAAAUAUCAUGAAAGCUGCCACUUCCCAAGUCCCCACAGUCCACUCUCUCCCCUCUGCAACUCUCUGAAAUUCUCUCUCUGGAUUUUCUUCUUCCAUGGCGUCCUCUUCGAUGUCAGCAAGCGGAGUGCUCACCUCCCGAUCGUCGGUGUUGCGGAACUCGAAGCAGAACCAUAACAUCAGCCGCCUCUCGUUCAGUGGCUCUCAUCUCUCCGGGACCAAAAUCUCCGCGCCCAGCACCUGUUUGAGGAGAUCGCCCACUAACAGAGUCCCGCCGCUGGUUGUGUCUCCCAAAGCUGUUUCCGAUUCCAAGAACUCUCAGACGUGUCUUGAUCCCGAUGCGAGCCGGGUGAGUAAUUCAUUUCUCUCUGUACCGCAUUUGGUGCUUUUGUUCUAUGCAUUAGCGAUUUAGCAUAAUGAGUUCUUGUUUUGAUUGAAAUUUUGGGAAUUUGAUUGUGUUGAUGUGUAGAGUGUGUUGGGGAUUAUACUGGGUGGGGGAGCUGGGACGAGGCUUUACCCAUUGACAAAGAAGCGUGCGAAGCCUGCUGUUCCAUUGGGAGCAAACUACAGGCUGAUCGAUAUCCCAGUCAGUAAUUGCCUCAACAGCAACGUAUCAAAGAUCUAUGUGCUGACCCAGUUCAAUUCCGCUUCGCUCAAUCGCCAUCUUUCUCGUGCUUAUGCUAGUAACAUGGGUGGCUACAAAAACGAAGGCUUUGUUGAGGUUCUUGCUGCCCAGCAGAGCCCUGAGAAUCCCAAUUGGUUUCAGGUGAUUAAAACGCUUGUUUAGUAAUUGUGGGGUUGUGUUGGGAAUCGGGUUUCGAUUGGUUUCUGAGUUUGGAUAUUGGGUUUUGGUUUGGUUUUUGAGUUGGAUAUUUGGUUUUGAUGGUUUGCAGGGUACCGCGGAUGCCGUGAGGCAGUACUUGUGGUUGUUUGAGGAGCACAAUGUGUUGGAGUUUUUGGUUCUUGCUGGGGACCACUUGUAUAGGAUGGACUAUGAGAGGUUUAUUCAGGCACAUAGAGAAACUGAUGCAGACAUCACUGUGGCUGCUCUGCCCAUGGAUGAGAAGCGUGCUACCGCCUUUGGUUUGAUGAAGAUUGAUGAAGAGGGAAGGAUUAUUGAGUUUGCUGAGAAACCUAAAGGGGAGCAACUCAAAGCUAUGAAGGUGAAAGAUCCACUUGCAAAUUGUUUAAAUUAUUUAGUGCAUUACGUAUUUGUUUCAUUGUGAAUUGGAGCGCUAGUGGGUUAUGGUGUGUAAUUGAGUAGCGAUGCAAAAUGUUGUUUCUGUUUUGUUUUAGGUUGAUACUACUAUCUUGGGUCUUGAUGAUGAGAGAGCUAAAGAGAUGCCUUAUAUUGCCAGUAUGGGUAUAUAUGUUGUGAGCAAAAAUGUCAUGUUAGAUCUACUUCGAGACAAGUUUCCUGGUGCAAAUGAUUUCGGGAGUGAAGUUAUUCCAGGCGCAACUUCCAUUGGUUUGAGGGUAAGUUUUCAUGUCGUAUUUUAAUCUGUACUUUUUAUGUUACGAUCUAUCAAAAGAGGUUCUUUUGCAUCGUCCACUUUGGGGGAAAAAGAUUGGAAUAAUUGUCAAGUGUAUUGGAUGGACAAGUCUCACCCUCUUAUUCAGUUGAAACACCAAGUUCUUGUUUUGCAGAAGCAGCAAUCAGAACUCCAUUAUAGUCUGGUAUUACACAAUUGCAAAUAUCAUUCAUUGAAAACUGAAUAAAUCCUUUUCUAAUGAAAAAGACGAUGUCCUAAAUUGAUUUUAUAUGAUAGUAUUUCCCAGUUCCAUACGUUCUUUACCCUGCUUCCCUUCAUCCAGAUAUUCAGGCACUGGAAGGAAUACUAAUUAGUAAUGCCUACAGGUUCAAGCUUAUCUGUAUGAUGGCUACUGGGAAGAUAUUGGUACCAUUGAGGCUUUCUACAAUGCAAACUUGGGGAUAACAAAAAAACCAGUUCCAGAUUUCAGGUACCUUUUAUUCUAUAACUUGUUUGUUAUCUGUUAUGUUGGGCCAAUUGAUAUGUUAUGCUAUCAGUUUGAUCUCGAUUUAAUAUUCCUGCCUAAUUUCGAACUUAAUACUGUAGCUUUUAUGAUCGUUCAUCCCCAAUCUACACCCAACCUCGGUAUUUACCUCCAUCAAAAAUGCUUGAUGCUGAUGUCACAGAUAGUGUUAUUGGCGAGGGAUGUGUAAUAAAGGUAAAGUUCUUUAUAGAAAUAUUCAUCAUUUUGCUAAAAUGUUCCAUUAUAAUGUCAUAUCCUAGUCCCAUGUUUUCUUCGAUUUUGGAAAAACUUACAUCCAUGUGCUAUUGUUGCAAGAAACAGAGAUCAGAAUAAUGUAUUGCAGUCCUGCUCAUUUGACCCAACCCUACUUUUUUCGUAAACACAGAACUGUAAAAUUCACCAUUCAGUCGUUGGGCUUCGGUCUUGCAUAGCGGAGGGUGCUGUCAUUGAAGACACAUUACUGAUGGGAGCUGACUACUAUGAGGUAUAACCUGCUUCUUUUUAUUUUAAGGCAUGACCCAAUAAACAUGUUUUUGUUUUAUCAGGAUGAAUGGACUUCCCUUCAAAAUAUUGUCACUGUCGGUUUGAUAUUUCUAUGGGUUGGUUAGAUUAUUCUGAUGCCAUUCUUGUGCCCCAGACUGAUGCUGACAGGAGGUUUCUAGCUGCAAAGGGUAGCGUUCCAAUCGGUAUUGGCAAGAAUUCUCACAUUAGGAGAGCUAUAAUUGAUAAGAAUGCUCGAAUUGGAGAAAAUGUUAAGGUAAGGAUAUUAUCAGCAUAACAUGAUUAUUUCAGUUUAUUAAUUUGAAGUCUAAAUUUUAUAGCCGAUUUGAAACUUAUUAAAUGGAAACAGAAAACCGAUUCCUAUGUGUACUUCCUAUUCCCUGCUUACAUUCGAUGCAAGGUCGUGUUGGACAUACAUUCAUAUUAUAAAUUUAUUCUUCUUAGUUGAUCACACGAAACAGUUUAUAUUUUAUCUUUGUGAAACUGACCAUCGACGAUUAUAAAUUACAGAUUAUCAAUAUCGACAAUGUGCAAGAAGCAGCAAGAGAAACAGACGGAUAUUUCAUAAAGAGCGCGAUUGUCACAGUGAUCAAGGAUGCCUUGAUUCCUAGUGGAACAGUAAUCUAGCCACCUUAUUUUCCACUCGUUUAUUGCUGACAGCGGAGGUUCUUUCUAGUUACUGGGCUGAGAGGAGCCACGAGUACGCAGCUACAGCAACUUAACGAGCACUUUGAGCGGUUCUGUCUUCUGUUCUUGUAACGUACAUUUCACGGAACUACGAUGUAAUUAUUGAGGAAGAGACCUCAGGAAUUUGCUCUGUAGAUGCUCUAUUUCUAUCUCAAAUAAAAGUUUUUUGCCAAUUGUUCACCUCACAUCUUACAAUACCUUACGAAGUCACUCGGGAAAGCGAUGCUCGAAAACUAGAACACUUUAUUGUUGAAGAAACAUCGUAAUCGUACCCAUGUUCACAGAGUUUGGUAUGUGAAACUUCAAGAUUAUGACAUUGAUACAUCCUUUAUAUAAAACUACACAAGUGAAAAAGGUCCUAAUGUGAUCUACGAAAGGAAAUCCUCGAGGGCUGAAGCUCCUUGGCUGACAAGUUUCGGCAACUUCAUAACAAUGCUUGCGUUUUGAACCUUGAGGAUGAAUUUUCUUUUGGGUUUAAUGCCGUGCUUUUGUUAACACCAGGUUGAAGCGAAAUGCCGACCACAUAAAUUACCAUUGACGUACAAAUUGGUCGAUUCCAUCCCACUCAUCAACCAUUCUAAUGCACACAUGCAGCACAUUCUUGACCAACAUCGCCAUUACCUGUAGAGACAAAAUCAGUUUCGUAUAAUUAGUAAAUGUUAUAGACAAGAAAUUGACAAGAAUUGGUUACACCUUGUGUAUAAGACCAGACAGCUCAAAUAACAGGGUUGCAUGUACUUGACAGAAAGUUGGGAUAAUGUUAGUAAUUACCGCUUGAAUUCCUUGGUUUCUAUCGAAUGCUAGAAAUUGACGAUAAGUGAAUGGUGCAGGCAUUAUAAUUUGAUUUUGCAGGCAAUAAGCAAGAUAAGAUUGUUAAUACCACUUGUUACAAGGUUUUGAGACAUCCCAAACCAUUAGAAAGUUAGAAACAUAUUACUCAAUGUCCUUUGGCACUAGCUAUAACAAGAUCAUUCUACUCAGACGCACUUCUGUGGAUAAUCUAGUGGCCAGUUUUCCAAUUUGAAGAUAAAUAUAGCUUGAGCACGUAGUUAACAAAGAAAGACUAGCUACAGUAUCUUUACUAUUAUGGCCAACCCAAAGUGCUCAAAUAUGAUAUAGAAAACUAAAAAUCUACAUAAAUAUUGAUCCACCGAUUUCUUCUACAAUAGUAUAAAAUAAAUGAACUACGGAUACUGUAAUUACCUGUUUUAUGCGAGUCCAAAGUGAUGUUCACCUUUUUCUAGCUUUUUCGCGAAAGUACCUCCUCCAUUUAUCCUUGAGAUCAACUGGUUGACGGGUUACAUGAAACACAUUAUGACCAUAUUCCAAAAUUUCCUUCCACUGCAUCUUUCCAUUUAAUGUUCCAUGAAGUCUCACUCCCUCCUGGAAUCGAAGACUAUUGAAUUAGAUUCCAACUACUUGAGAAAUCAGGAGAAAGCGCUGGGCUCAACUCACUCAUGCAACACCAUUUUUUAUACCGUGGCCAGCAAAGUUUUUAACCUCUUUCUGAUUUACCUUUGCAAAUUUCUGAAGUAAAUUUUUUUAAAGAACUUUUCACAGGCCGGGGAAAAAAAACAACUCAGCAUAUAUAAGGCUACGUACAAGGCAAAGAAUUUGAAAACUUUUAACACUGCCAGUGAUUUAUAUUAUUUAUAUACGUACGCUUUAAGCUUGUUUUUCUUUAUUGAUACCAAAACUUAAUUUACCCAUAAAUCCCCCCACUGACACAGUUACGCCGUUGAGACAAGCAAGAAAAAAGUUGGUUUGGUUUUGUAUUUUGUAGAUUGUCCUACAUUUCCAAACACGCGUGUCAUGAUCUAGCACAUGAUAUGUCAAUAUAAAUUUCCACUCGUCAAGGGUAUAAUAGAAAAGUCUAUGAUAGUUGACCUAAACUCCUAACCCAAUUCGUUUUCCUUCCUAAAUAAAAGAGAAAGGGAGAGAUGUAUAAUAGAAUGCAGCAGUACCAGUUUCUAAUUGUAGCCAAAUUUGAUAAAUAGAGAUAAAUCAGGUUCACGAUACUGUUUGGCGGAAUUUCAACAUAAUUAGCUGACACUAUAUCAGAUGAUAAAUCUAUUUUAGAAAGGCAGGAAGCCAACCAGAAACAAGUACCUUUAACAUUUUUAACUCUUCAUCUGUCCAAUCUAAUCUCUUCCGCUUCCCAUUAGGAAGUACCAAGUUUCUGCAUCAGAAUAGGAGAAAUAAAUGACCACCAGUUAGUAAUUAUGAGAAUAUCAAAUGACUAUUUUCAUAGUUACAUACCACAUUCCCUACAUAACCUCAUGAACACUAGACUUAAAAUUGAUAAUACAACUCAAGGUCACCUUGAAGACUCCUGAAUUUCUCUUUCCCUCUUGGAAAAGGUUUUAGCAUUUGGAGGCUGUUCUUUCGUUUUAGCUUUUUGUUUGAGUUGCUUGCUUCGCACCAGAGGAGACCCAGUAUCUAAAUUUUCAGAUUUUGAAUCAACAUUGGACUUUCCAGGCACCUCCUUUUCUACUGAUCGCAUCUGUUCUUCAUCCUCACUUUUGCCCUCAUUCUCCUCAGACAGCCUUAUACCAUCCUUCUCAUCUCUUUGGUCGAAUCCAUCAUGUGCAUUGUCUUUAUUUUCUUUCCCCAAGCUCCUCCUCCAUUUAUCUUUAAGAUCAACUGGUUCACGGGUUCUGUGAAACACUUUAUGACCAUAUUCCAAAAUUUUCUUCCACUGCAUCUUUCCGUUUGAUGAUCCACAAACUCUCACUCCCUCCUGGAGCCGAAGAUUACUUAAGUUAGAUUCCAACUACUUAAACAAAUCAUAUGAAAGUAGUAAAGUACUGAACUCAAAUGAGUCAUGCACAGCAUUUUUUAUCCCUAGCCAGCGAACUUUUUUUCCUUUUUCUGAUUUACCUUUGCAAUUUUUUUCAAAAAUUCUUUCAAAAUCCAAAAUAGAGAUAGAGGUUAGGGAGAGAGAGAGUCGGCACUUAAAAGGCUAUGUAAAAGACAAAGAAGUUGAAAUUUUUUAUAGAGGUGUGCUUUAAGCUUCUUUUUCUUCACUGACAUUUAAGGCCUAAUGUAUGCAUAAAUAACCGACUGUCACAGUUUCUCCAUCGAGACGGAGAAAACAGAGGUUGGUUUGGAGUUGUAUUUUGUAGCUUGUUUUGUUCCACAUUUCCUAAAGUGCAUGCCAUGUCAAUAUAUCCUCUCAUCAAGGGUAUAAUAGUAAAAUGUAUGAUAAUUGACUUUGACUCCUAAUCCAAAUUUUCAGCCCUCCUAAAUAAAAGAGAAAGGGAGAGAUCUAUCUUAGAACAAGGCAGUAUCAGUUUCUGGUUGUAGCAAAAAAAAAAGGUGAAUUUAAUAACUUGAGAGAUGAAAUCAGGCAUCGUCAUACCGUUGUUGGGAAGGAAUCUAGACAAUAGUUAGCUGAUAAAAUUUGAAAUGAUGAAACUUAUUCUGGAAAAUCAGGAAGAACAAUACCUUCAACAUUUUUAUCUCUUCAUCUGUCCAUUUUGAUCUCUUACCCUUCACAUUAGGAAGUACCAAGUUUCUGCAUAAUAGGAGAAAUAAAUGAUUGCCAAUUAAUAAUUGUAAGAGAAUAUUGAAUCAUUCCAUCUACUUUUAUCAUAUAAAACAUAUCAAACAACAUAGAUAACCUCAUAAAAAAAAAAAAAUUGACAACUCAUGAUCACCUUGCAGAUUCCUGAUUUUCUCUUUCCUUCUUGGAAAAGGUUUUAGCUUUUCCAUUUUGGUUUUUAGCAUGCUCCUCUGCAGACCUUGUUCGACGAGCUGAUAAUUCCCUUGAUGAAGAGGGCACUGUCCUUAAGGAAGCUACACUUUGAGGCUGUUUUAUCCUUUUACUCUUCUGUUUGAAACGCUGCUUCCUCACUAGUGGAGACCCCGUAUCUAACUCAUCAGAUUCAGGCACAACAGUAGAAUUUCCGGGCACCUCCUUUUCCACUGACUGCAUUUGUUCCUCAUCCUCACUUUCGCCCUCGUUCUCCUCAGGCACCCGUUUACCAUCCUCUUCAUCUCUUUGGUCUGAUAAUCCAUGUGCAUUGUGAUUAUUCGUCAUUUCUUGUACACAACAACCACUCUGGGGCUCUGUCUCCUCUUCUUGUUCUUCUUCAUCACUUCCUCCCUUGCUCUCCUCCGACACCCUUAGACAAUCCUCCUCAUCUCUUCGGUCUAAUCCAUCACGUGCAUUGUCGUUAUUCAUUGUUUCUCUUGGCUCUGCAUCCUCUUCUUGUGUCUCUUCAACAAUUUCCUCCUCCUCAGGGUCCUCAUCUAUUCUCUCCUCACCCCUUACAUCUUCAAUCUCCCUCCUCUGGUCAGUUCCCCCUUCCACAGCCCCACCUCCUUCUACUCCCACAUACUGACCCCGAACCUCAACACCACCCCACCCGCCCGUCUCACACCCACAAUCCUCCCCCUCUCCUGCAUCAAUAAACUUAGACAACACACUCUUGGACCCCAUUACCUUCCUCCCCAACUCCCGACACCGAAAAAACUCCCGCUUAUACGCGCAAUACGGGCAGUAAAACUUUCCCAAUUGAUCAAAAACAGGCCUUGCACACAUGCACUCCUCAUGGAGAGCAAUUGGGCAUCCCUUCUCACUACAAACCAUCAAUUUCCUACUUCCAGAACCACCAUCGUUACACCUAACACAAUUCUCAACUUCUAACAAUCCAUCCAAUUCCAUAGAUUCUUCAACACCCAUUGUUCAAAUUGUUCGACUAAGAACUCACACCAGCAUCAUAAUCCGUCAAAAUUGUUGCAGAAAAAGGGAAAAAAAAUAUUUGAAAUUUGAGGAAUUUAGAAGAAACCCACCUGAGGGAAGAUUCGAGGUGGCGCUGCAGUGGAAAUUGUGGAGGUUUUGGCGGGGAGGGGGCGAGGAUUAACUGUCCGGCUUUUGCGUUUCCUUUGAAGCUCUCUCAGUGCGACCGCGCGCUCGUAGUGAGCAAGAUAGUGAUACGACGUCGUAUAAGUGAUAAGGUAUUUUGCCAGCUGAGAUAAUAUUGGGAUAUUUGGAAAUAUAGCCAUUUUAGAAAUCGCUUAUUGAAAUAUAACCUACAUUUUCUAAUUUUUAUAAAACUAACCCAAAUUAGAGUUAAAAAGACUUAAUUACCUUAACUUUCUCUUAACACUCGCGUGCUGUCUCUUAACACUCCUCAUCUCCAUUGAAACGCCACCACCGAACUUCGCUUUACCCAAACGUAAUUGAACCAAGUGAUCACACCAAGCAGUACUCGCAAUACUAGAUGAAGAAACAGUCAAAACUAACAAAAGUUUUCUGAAAUCUUAUUUGUGGUGUGGCUAUGAACCCAGCCGAGGCUGUGAAGCAUCCUCACGGAGGAGGUAAUCACCACAUAUUGGACAUGCUACAAGAGUCAGGCGUGACGCUCCUCCUGGGCAGAAGGUUGGUCUCAUUGCUGCUAGGGGGACUGGUCGUCUCAGGAAAAGUUGCUGCAAAGGUCUCUAAGGCAGACAAGUGAUGAGAUUACAUUUACCACUUUAUCUACAUUUGCCGUGUUUGGACUGUUAGUAUUUUAUUCAAGACUAGUUUGGUGCAUUUUGUGGAGGAAUUUUGUUUAAGAAAAAAAAAACAAUGGGGAUGAAGAUUUAGAAAGAAAAAACACCACGUACGAUUCUAGAAGCAGGGAAAGUUUUAAACUAAGGGCAAUAAGUCUUUUUAACUUCAAUUUUGGUUAGUUUUAUAAUACAUGAAAAAUGUAGGUUAUAUUUCAAUAGGUGAUCUCUAAAAUGGCUACAUUUCCAAAUUUCCCGAUAAUAUUUCGUUUGAAAUUUUUGAGGUAACUACAUUUUACGACCUUCAAAAUUGAUAUUUUAAAAACAAAUCAUGAGGUUAUAACUUUUUUUAUAUUAAACUUUGAAGUUUUGAAUUUUAUAAUUUACACCUUCUGCCUUUUUUACUAUAUCUUUUAUUAAAUUGAUAAUUUUUUUGGUCAAUAUAAUGCAAAUGUGAUUUGCACGUUAGCUCUUACAAAGAUUUCACGCUUAUUAUGUCAUUAAUUUAAUAAAAUAUUAAACAAUUGAUCCAACAAAAGACAUAAAUUGAUAUGAUUUUAAUACAUCAUAGUGUAAAAUGAGAAAAUUGAAAUUUCAUGGUCCAUUUUAAAACUUCACAAACCUCAACGGUGUGAAAUGUAGUUGACCCGAAUUCUUUUAUCAUUUUAAAACUCCACAAACCUCAACGGUGUGAAAUGUAGUUGGCCCGAAUUCUUUUGUUCAAUUUUUUGCAUGAUCUCAUCUUGCCUUACAUAUUCCUCUUCGUCCACUGCUUUUUUUUUUUAUCUUCUUUUAAGUAAAAUUGUAGAGGAGAGAUUCGAACUUGUGGAGUUUGGGUGCGAUAGAGAAUUCUAUGAUCCAAUAAACUACAAGUCCCUUAUCAUUCAUUUUUAAUUAUAAUCGGACAAUAGUCUACUAUUAAAGUUGAAGAAUAUGAGUUAUGAGCUAGUUAUAAUUAAUAAUUCAUCGAAUAAUUGAGUAAAGUCACACAAUGAGCCUAUACAAUAUGUAUGGCAUAAGUUCAUUACUACGGUGGUGUCUUGUGCCUAUAACAUAAUGACAUGUGUAUAAAAGGUAACACAUGUCUUUGUGUUAUUGCACAGGACGUUACAUGGUGAUGAACUCAUAUCAUGCAAAUCCUUCUCUACAAUAAACAAGUUAUAAUAAUUUAUCGAACACAUCAUCCACUUGAGUCAAAAACUUAUGAUCUCUCUUACUUAUAACUAGAGAAAGUACCGCUAAAAGAAGGUAGUGAUACUUCAUCUACGUAGCUAUCAUUUUCUUUUCUAUGUCCUUGUUCCUAUAAUUUCCUAGUAUUCCUAACCAACUGUACAUGAUUUUCAAAAUCAAAUAGAGAAUAUAUAUGUGUUUAUCGUAGAUCUAAAUUCGAAUUCUCUUUCUCCAGCUUAAUUCAGGUUUAAAGAAGAAUAAUAUCGUUUGUAUAAAGAAAAUUCCCAAGCGGGAUAAUUUUGUUUGUAUAAUUUAGAUCUUAAUUGCAUGGUAACUACACAUUAAAGCUCUUCAACAUUUUUAGUUAAAAUCAUUGCUAUGAAAUAAUUAUAUUUCUUUCCGUAAUUGUAAAUUAUUCUAACAAGAUUGUUACUAAUAAUUUUAUGGUGGAUUUUUUUCUCAUCACUUUUAAGUGGUAAUGCUGACCAGCCUAGUUAUUACCAUUGGAUAAGUUUAAAUUUUAAGAUUGAUAUCUAUCCAUUACACAUAUUUCGAAAUUUAAAUUUAUCGAAAUAUGAUAAAUAGGGUAAUAAAUACCACCAUUACUUGGCAUAUUACCAAAAUUUUAUAAUCAAGAACUUGAUAGCAAAUGUACCUGGCCGAAAAAAAAGCACUAUUGCAAAUGUGAGACCUUGUGGAUGGUAGUGGUACCUCUAGCUAGCAACUAUAAAAGCAUAGUUCUUCUGGUGUUUUUUUUUCACAGAGAAUUAAAAUUUAAUUUUCUUCAAAUUAACGAGCAAUAUAGCAUGGCUUGGUUCAAUGGAAGUUCAGCACUGCUGCUAGUCACGCUGGUUUUGUUCACAGUCACCAUUUGUGAUGCAUUCAAGACAAGAUAUGUUAGAGUCACAAAUAAUUUGGAGGGGGGCCAGACCCUCAGCCUUCACUGUAAAUCCGAGGACGAUGAUCUUGGUCUCCAAACGCUCGCGACGAACGCCUCCUUUGAAUUCCACUUCAAACCUAGCUUUAUCACCAUAACGAAGUUUGAUUGCAGUUUUGAGUGGCCAGGUGCAUCGCACUGGUUCGAAAUAUAUAAUCAUGAGAGAGAGAAAGUAUAUUGUAGCAAGUGUUACUGGAGUGUUACCACAGCUGCUCCGUGCAGGUACGACUGGGACGAGCAAAAGUACAGCAAAUGCUUUAUGUGGAGUUAAUCAAGUCAAUUAAUCUAGUUUUCUAUGGUUUAAAUUGGAGGUUAUGUAAUGGAAGAUGAACUAGUAUUCACAUGUAAUAAUUUAUAUCGGGAAUAAAUAAUAAGGGUUCAAUUGUUAUAUUCAUUUAUUUUUGAAAGUUUAUGGUGACAUUUCACAUGCAUAUGAUUUUGUAAUGUCAUACGUACGUUGUUGUGACUUAUGACACUAUUUAUUCACUAGCUAUUAUCUUGUGGAAGAUGUGAAGGGUAGAGCUUUCCUGCACUAACGUGCCAACCUCCAUACAUGUAUACUAGCCUUGUUUUAUAUGGAGGAUUAGCCACUAUUUUUAGGGUAGGUUAAAGGAAAAAAGAAAAAAAUUAAUAAGGGCAAACUUGAAGGUCAGAGAAAACUUAUCCAUUCAAUCUUUCCCAAAACGGGAGGAUUAGAAUGAAGAUGUUUCCUUCAAAUCCAAUCCCCUUAAAAUCAUCUCAGGAUAAAAAUUAUUUUCGUAUAUCCUUAAUAUACAUUGAAUUUGGAUGAUUAUCCAUUCCUAUCUAGUCCUCUAUACCAAAGGAAGCCUUUAUGUGCUUAGAAGGAAGUUGUUGGAGGACAAGGGACAAGAGAGAUGGUGUGAACCGUAUGGUGUAAAAUUUUAAAACUCCAUUGAUUGCAAGAAUUAUAAUUUCUUUAUUUAUCCAUUUGGUAAUAGGCUACCUAGUUCGAUUAAAAAAAAAAAUAAGAACAAAUUGCCUAGCUAGAAUUGUACAGAAGGAUUUUACUGCAGAGUUUGUAAAUAUUCAGCCAGCACCAUAAUUCUUAUCUUUUAUCCCUGAUUCUUUGUAUAUAUCCAUGAAGUUUAGUCCUAAUCUAUUAGGUUCUAUGAACCUCAUGUAUUACCAUAACCAUAGCAUUCCAAAAAGGUCACUAUACCAAACGUGAAACCAUAUGAAACCCUAACUAGCAACUACAAAAGAACGAGGUGCACUGUGCACAUAUCCUUGUGCAUCAGUUUUAAUUUCCAUCAAGACAAAAUUUCUUCAGGAAAACUAGCAUGGCUUCGUUCACUGGAAACACCUUGUUGCUGGUGCUGCUUAUAUUUUUCACAAUGACCAUGUUUUGUGCAGGAGUAGGUUCGAGAAGACACAUCAAAGUGACAAAUGAUUUGGGCGAAAACUCAACCCUAACCGUCCAUUGCAAAUCCAAGAACGAUGAUAUUGGUGAAAAAGUGCUUGCCCUUCAUGAUUGGUUUGAAUUUAGCUUUCGACCUAACGUAUGGGACAGUACGCUAUACUACUGCAGUUUUGCGUGGCCAAAUAAUUUUAAGUGGUUCGAUAUAUACAUAGACAAGAGAGACCGAGAUGAUUGUCGUUUGUGUUACUAUAGUGUAGUACCAAAUGGCCCAUGCAGGUUUAAUUUUGACACCAACAAAUAUGACAAUUGUUUUAAGUGGAACUGAAAGUUAGUUUGAUUGUCAUUGUACUCCAAUCAAUCUUUCGUUUUGGUUUUGAUGUGAAAUGUAAAAUGAUAUCGUAUGAUCGUAUCUGCAUUUACUGAUUUACAUCUUUGAAUAAAUAGCAAGAGAUUGAUUGUUAUUUAUUCUUUUUACAUGGGUUUGAUUUUUGCUUGAAUAAAUUGAUAAGAAGACAUUUUGUUUCUUUUUUACAAGCAGACCUUGAUUGUUGUUGGAGGGCCAUGGGUUUGAAUAAAUUGGUAUAAGGUUAUUUCUAAAUGGAAGGGCUAAACAUAGCAUCAUCCAAAAUUAUAGCUCUGCAAUAACUAAAACUUAUUAGACACGUGCCGCCCUCUUGCAUCCAAAUUCAAGUUGGCUAGAUUAUCGCCCUACAAAAAUUAAAAUACAAAUGAUUAUAAACUUGACGAUAGCCCUCACUUUGAAAUUGCAGGGAAGCUAACAUUAGCUAACAUUAGAAUUUACUUUGGUGAUCCAAAAUCUUGGAGGAAGCUGGAUCACAAGGUUUUUUUUUUUUUUUUUUUAACCGAUAUUAUAUAACUUGCACUAAUAAAAGUGGGGUGGAUUUUGCCUCAUAAUCGGUUGACAAUGAUGUGGUUCAAAUUUGCAUUUGGUGAGAAUUGAAUCUAAAACAUCUCACUUACAAGUGAAAAUGAAUACUAUUAAAUCAUCGUACUAAGUGGUAGUUGGAUCACAAGUUAAGUACAUAACUUUUCUUGAAAAAUCAAAAGUUAAAUUUGCUACUAUAUACUUAUAUAGUAUUACAAUUUACAUUUAAGUAGUAUUUUUCUGCAUUGAUAAGUUAGAAGUACGUGUGAGUUUGAUAUCAAAUUAUUGUAGUCGUUCAAUUACGCAACUCAACCCAAAUUUUAUUUUGAAAGUGCUUUUAAAAUGAUUGAAAAUAUUUUUCGAUAAAAGUACUUUUGGAACUAAUCUUUAAUAAUAAUGCAAGUAAAUCCUAGAAAAACACUUGAAGUAUUUCCUACAAAAAACACACGAUUAGAGGCUUCUUCCACAUUCACUUCAAAUGCUUUGAAAUUGAAAAAACACUUUCACCAAUAUCGCUUUCAGUUAUUUUAAAAGUAAUUUCAAACAUGUUCGACCAAAAAAAAAAUUCCAAACAUGUAUGUAGUGCUUAAUAUAGCAAAUUUGAGAAUGACGGGAUUGGUCGGUGUCAACGGUGCAAACGUUUUUUCUCCUAUGAGAACGGAAUAAAUUAAAGUGAUUGGAUCGAAAGAAAAAGAAAUCAUUGCAUUUGCAUGUCUGAAAAUAGGAAAGGAGAGACAAUGAUAUUUGCUAGGGCGAAAACGGCGGGUUCCCACGGAUGGCUGUGGACCAAUAUCUCACGUCUCAAUAUCUGUCAAAGCUGUUUAAUUUCCUCUUUUAUCAAAACCAUCAAUUUACAAAUUUGCACUUAAUAACUGCCUUCCUUGAAUCUUUGCUUUUUAUCUUCUGCCUUCCAUUAAUCUCAUUGUUUAGUUUGGAAGGAAUCCCAGAUUUUUUUUUUUACACAAAAAAGAAAUUAAAUUACAUUUCUGUUGCUAACAUAUGCAUGCAUGUUUUUUUGGAUAUGAUUUUUUAGGGUUCAAAUUGGAGAAUCAAUAUAUAAAUAUAUAUACACACACUUUAGACCACAAGGUUAGCUCUAUACUUCCAUGAUCCUUGUUCUUGUUUUGUUUCUUGGGGCUGAGAAAUUUUUAUGUUCUUAUUCAGAAUUUCAUUAGGGUUUGGUUUGAAACAGGUAAAGAAUAAAUCCAUAUAUAUAUAUAUAUAUGUAUAUGUAUUGAUGCGUGACUUUCUUUUUAUUAGGGUUGUUAGAUUCACGUUCUUCACAAAAUUUUCAUAUGGGCUUUAUUCUGAUUCAAGGGAUAUUUUAAUGUAGACCAAAUAACAGGGAGGGGGAUUCGAAAUCGAACUUGGGUGCAGGAGGGGAGCACACUGUAGUAAACAACUUGCUUACGCCCAGGCCUGCGAUAUGGGCUUUAUCAGUAACAGGUAGAGCUUAUACAUAGAUGUUAUGUGUAUUAUGUGUGUAUGUAUAGGCAUAGAAUUUGCAGAUGGAACAUGUUGAUUUCUAUGUAUGUGUUGAUUGUGGAGAAUGUGAUGAAACAGUGAUGCCCGUGUUCGACGAUGGAAUUCUUGUUGAUUUCUUGGCAUAGAAUUCUACUUCCACCUCAUGGAUUCUGAUAACCGUUACAACAACGACGACAACAAGAGCAGGAACAACGAUGCAUCCACAAUAAAAAUAAAUUCUCAUGUUGAGGUCCGUUUUAAAUUCUUUAGUUGUAUGUGGUAAUGGUAUCAAAGGCAUUUCCUUCGAUACCGGUGAUGAUUUUUGGUAACAAUGAUUUUGAUUCCACAGAUGGGAUCAACGCAAUCCAAAUCAGUGUUUGAGUUCGAGGAUCAGAGCCUAGUUGGUCCCGAAAAACAUUCUUUGGAUGAGGCUCCCCUCAGAGCUCUAUAUUCUGGUGGUGCAAAUGACUGCUGUCCCCAUGUCCUGAAGAACAGUGUCGCUGAUAGCAUCAGGACUGUAGUUUUCUCUGCCAAAAUUAACCUGCUCAUGCCUUUUGGCCCUUUGGCAAUCGUGGUUGAUAAAUUAACCGGUCAUCAUGUGAGUUACAUUAUAUUUUUCUGUGUGUGAAUCUUUCGGAUCAUCACACGACACGAUUGUAUGCUUGGUUAUUUGAUUCUUCUUAAUGCAUUUCAGGGUUGGGUCUUUCUUUUAAGCUUGUUGGGAAUCAUACCCUUGGCUGAGAGAUUAGGAUACGCAACAGAGUAAGAUUUCUUGCAUUCUCUUUGUAUUUUCUUUAUUUGCUAACAUAAUGUUUACCGAGUGGAAUCCAACAGCCUGGACUGAACAUUUCCAGUAACUUGAUGUGUUAGAGAACCAACAUUUGUUACCGUAUUGUAGCAUAUUAGGGUUUGUUCCGCGCGCACAUGAGCCCGACAUCCAUACCAACUUUGCAGUUAAUGUGCAUUGUAGAGUACCUAAUACAGAUUGGCUUCUUUUGAUGCAGGCAGCUGGCUUGCUAUACUGGACCAACAGGUAAGCUGUUGCUAACACAACUACCGUUUUUUAGACUCCCCGUCACAUUUUACAUCUUUAGGUUUUACGAAAAGCUUGAGGAUUUGAGUAUCGUAAAAACUUUAAGUUUGGUUUUGAGCACAGUAAAGUAGUAUCGGAUAUUCAGAAUGGACUUUGUGGAUUAUUGUGAUAUUAAAAUUAUCAAUUUGUUAAUUUUGCAGUUGGAGGUCUUUUAAAUGCCACCUUUGGAAACGCAACGGAAUUGAUAAUAUCAAUUUAUGCUCUGAAACGCAGCAUGAUUCGUGUUGUUCAACAGUCCUUACUAGGCUCAAUCCUGUCGAACAUGCUGCUCGUGCUUGGAUGUGCAUUCUUCGCGGGUGGACUUGUGCAUUCAAAGACGGAGCAAGUGUUCAACAAGGUAAAUUUUCAUCUGAAAAAGGAGCACUUGUUUAGUUGGUUUUAUUUUCGCUCUUCUACCGUCCAUCUCAUUUGCUUGCAAAUAAAGCUCAAAAUGUCUAUAUUCUCAGGGAACUGCUGGAGUGAACUCUGGAUUGCUAUUGAUGGCAGUCAUGGGUCUGCUCUUUCCAGCAGUACUGCACUCUACUCGGACAGAGUUGCACUAUGGGAAGUCUGAGUUAUCCCUUUCGAGAUUCACUAGCUGCAUUAUGCUCGUCGCCUAUGCUUCAUUUCUGUUUUUCCAAUUGAGAAGCCAGCAUAAUUUGUAUAUUCCAGUUAAUCAGGUUGGUACAAGUCUUUGCCAAUACGGACCUCAAACCGUGUUACUAAUUCUUACGCUUUCACUGUUCAAGUAUGAUGAAUUUGAUCUGGUUUGGUACUUUGAAAAAAAACUGCUGUGAGAAUAAGCAGCUGUGCUGUGAGAAUAAGCGGCUGUGAAAUAAAUCAGCAAAGUGUUUGGUAAACUUUUUUGUAAAAGUGCUUUUGGAAAAAAAAAAAACAGUCUGAUAGUUGGUCUUUUCAUUAAAGGAGCACUGUAGCUCCGUGUGCUUUGAAAAAAAACCAGUUUUCCAAAGCUGCAAAUAACAGCUUCAGCUUUUUCCUUUGAUUUAAGCUUAUUCUCACAGCUUCCAAAAUAAGCCAGUUUUUUUAGUUUACCAAACACCUAAAACCCUCACAGCUUUUUUUCAUGGGUGCUUUUUUUUAAGCACCUAACUCCCAAACCACCCCUAAGUGGUGUUUGUGCAAUUUCUCCUCUAUGUGAUCUAACGGUGUAUAUGAAUUUGGUUCAAUACCAGGCAGAGGAUCAGACCGAAGAAAAUUCAGAUGAGGAAGAGGCUCCUGAGAUCACUAAGUGGGAAUCCAUAAUAUGGUUAUCAAUUCUGACUGCGUGGAUUUCAGUCCUCUCGGAAUACUUAGUUAACGCUAUAGAGGUAACAUUCUUGUUUAAUCAUUGUCUUAUCCUCCAGUUUUGGAUGAUGUGAAAUUUUUAUAGUAUUUUUGUGGGGUUUGUAGUGAGGAAUCUCUUGUGUUGUUUCUGUAAUUUUUUUUCUCAGGGUGCAUCUGUUGCAAUGGGCAUCCCGGUUGCAUUUAUUAGUGUUAUUCUGCUCCCAAUCGUUGGAAAUGCAGCAGAGCACGCUGGUGCUGUUAUGUUUGCCAUGAAAGACAAGCUUGUAAGUGGUUGUCCUGUCGGUUCCAUGUUUAAAUACAAUCACUCAUGACUUAUCAUCGCUUCCUUGUGGACGUUGGCUUAAUGUUUGAUGCAGGAUAUUACUUUGGGUGUGGCAAUAGGCUCAUCAACGCAGAUCUCAAUGUUUGGAGUGAGUACCAACUAUCAUACAUAUGAAUUUUACACUGACAUUUUACGAUGAUUUUAUCUCUGCAGUACAUAAAUGUGAUGUCAUGAUGGUUUCCUUUUCGAUUGCUGCAGAUUCCGUUUUGUGUGGUGGUUGGGUGGUGCAUGGGGUGCCCUAUGGACUUAGAUUUCCAACUGUUUGAGACAGCGACGCUUUUCAUAACUGUUCUGGUGGUAGCCUUCAUGCUGCAGGUUCGUCAUUUGAGCAAAUCAUAAAUCUUUCGAUUUCUUACUUGAUUGCUUUUAUAGGAAAUACUUCAGGUUCUUUGUGCACAAACGCACUAGAUACACAUGAAUUUCAGGGUUUGUGCCGUGUUUCCUUGUGUCAGCGGGCGCUACAGCGACCAUUUUUCCUUUGUGCAAUGUGUCUAAAUGGGCUGAAAUUGAACUUGCAGGAGGGAACAUCUAAUUACUUCAAAGGACUAAUGCUCAUUCUUUGCUACAUUAUCGUCGCUGCGAGCUUCUUUGUACAUAGAGAUCCUAAAGCGAUUCGUGAGUUCUCCCCUCCUUAAUUUUCUCUCAAGUGGCCCGUGGAUAAUUGAUCCGACUUUUUACAGUUUCGAACGAUUGUUUUUUCUGCUUGCAUAUUCAAUUCAACAGAAUGCAGCACAUUAUCUCUCUGUGUUUAGUAUGUUUCCUACUUGUGACUUGACGCACAUUUUCUCUGCAGAGGAUAAGCCCCAGAACCCGAAGCAGUAACUGAAUCAUCGAAGCGGGUGAUCAACUAAUGCGCAAAGCCGAUGUCAUGUACUGAAGAAGCGAGGUUUUUGCCGGCUGGACUCCCGGAAUCAUGACGAUUGAGAGUGACUUGUUUGGUAAUGCCGGAUAGUUUUCCAUGUCGAAAUUAGUACACCUGAUGCCCGGGAAUGUGUUGCUAUUUCCCUUAGUUUGCCUCGGAAGCCAGUGGAUGUAUGUAUUUCUGUCCCAAUGCCACAUUGGAGCAGAGAAGAGAGAGAUGGAUAUUAUAGGGUAAAAAGUUUAAAUUUGGUGCUCAAAAAAUAGGAAUGGUAAUAGUCUAAUGUAAAAGAUUCAGUAAAUUAAGGAUGUAUGACAUUGUAAUGCUUUAAAAAUAAGGUAUGAGUUUAUAAUUGUACCAAAAUUUGAAGGUACAAAUUGUACCCUUUGAAAGUUGAUGGCAUGUCGGUUUUAGGAUAAUUACAUGUUAGAAUAUGAAGCACGUGAAACACUAUGAAAGAAUAUGAAACACAUGAUAGAGAUGUAUAAACACAAAACACAUGAAACACACAAAACACAUAUGAAGCACAUACAAAACACAUGAUAGAGAUGUAUAACACACCAAACACAUGAGACACACGAAACACAUAUCAAAACACAUAAAACACAAACCUACACACAUGAAACGCAAACCUUCAAUCAUCUUCUAUAUAAGCAUAGGUAUUUAUAGAGUUUUUUGGUGAAUUUUGAGUUAAAUAUUUUUUUAUAAUUAUUUUAGCUAUUAGAUUUAAAUUUGGGCCAUUAGAUUUUUUUUUUUAGAUUUGGUUAUAUUUGAUUUCAGUCAUUGGAUUCAAUAAAUAUAUAAAUAUAAAAAAAAAUUGAACGUGGACUGUUGGAUCAAUCAACGGCCCAUUUAAAUGUGGUCGUUGGAUCACAAAAACUAGUUGUUAGGCUAUUAUGGCAUCUGACACGCGGGGCAUGCUCACGUGGGUGGGGUCCAACUGGUGCUGCGCCUGCUGCAUUUGGCCCGUCCGAGAGUGAGUUUUGGGCGUUUGGGCUUCACAUUAGUUUUUUCACUCUCACAUGUGGGCUCCACCAUUAAUUUUGGGUUAAAUCUUGGUUGGUAUUUGGGGUUUUUUAUUGGUAUUUGGGGUUUUUUUAGGUUCUAACACUUAACCCAAUUUUAGAACAAGGGUUUAUUGGGGGGGGGGGGAAUAGAAGGGAAAAUUUAAGACUUACUCCAAGGGUUAGAGUUGGUCUAAGGGGUGGAGGAGUGGACUCAACUCACUCAAGUCCAAACCACCCGAACCAAAUCUUUCAAAAUUAGCUAUGUUUGAUUUUCCUAGGGAUAUUUGUUAAAAUCAAACCGAACUGCAAUUGUUACAUUGCAAUCGAUUCAGUUGAGAUUUUGAGACAAAACGAGACAAUCAAGACGGUGCAACUGCAACUCAAACUUUAAAAAUUCAAGAAGUUGUAAAAUCGACCAAUUGGAAAAGCCAAUGAUUUUGAUAAGGAAACUAAUUUUCAGACAUCAUUUUUAGUCUUUCAUGUAGUCCUCUUUACUUGUGAUUAUCAUAUUUAACUAGUCUAUCCACACACGUUAUACGUGUGUAAUUAAAUUUGUCUAUGUUUGUUAUAAAAAUAUUUAUAUCACUUCUUUUAAAAAAAAAAAAAAUUGGGCGUGGACUUUGAAGAAGGGGUUAUGGGUGGUUUUGAAGUGCGGAGACAUGAGUUAAAUAAAUAAAUAAAUAAAGGCUUGUUUUAUUAACACCCCAUAUUUUGUUGACUACACUCCACAUGCUUCAUACACCCUACAUCUACUUUUUAACUAAAAAAUUAUCUUAAUACACCCCACUUAUUUUCCAAUACUACCCUUACACCCCACACCCCUCUACAUAAACCUCACACCCUACUUAAACCCUACAAUCAAACUCUUCCUUAAUUAAAUUAUUCAAAUAGUUUUUUAUGCUUUGUUUUUCUGCGAAGAACUUGCUAGAGUUUUGGGGGAGAAGAUAGUCAUAGAUUUCUCAAAUAUGUGGAUCACAUUAUGAGAAGAAGUAUAUGCCCAUGUUGUCUUUCUUGCUUAUUUUAUGUUUGAAUAUUUCUGGGCAACUGUAGCAUCAAAGAAGAAAUUUUAAUGUUACGAUUCAUGCCUAGUAUCUAAAGCUCCACCCAAAAGUUCCCUUUGCAUAUCAAUUAGCGAUUUUAAAUGAUUUUCAUGCAAAGGAAAAUGUAUGUCAGGAGAUGUAUUUAUGAAGAAAUAUAUAAGCACAUGCAUUUUUUUUUUAAAUUCUAAUAAUACAAAAGUUUGAGAUGACAUUUUAGUUUCAAACUUACGGAUGAUAUAGAUGUUGGAAUCAAUCGAAGUUACAAAUUAUACAAAUGUUGUAGUCAAUACCCAAGUGAUAGAGCUAUGGACGACGUCGAAGCCUCCAAAACAUUGAUUUCAUGUUUCAUUCGUCAAAAUUAACCUCUUUUUUUCAUUAACUAUGUUGUGCUUUUAGUUAGGGUUUUGUUUUAUAAUGGAGGUGAGAGUAUAUUCAAGAGCUUGAAAGAAAACAAUCUUAGAAUACAUAUUGACAAAUAGUUGGGGUGUAUUCAGAAAAUAAUUUUUGUUUUUUAAUACAUAUAUGGCCUAAAUAGUAAUUGCAUAUUAGGGUAUAUAAGUUAUUUAGUAAUAAAAUAUUAUGUGAGGUUUAUUCAACACUUAGUUGGGUGCUAAUAAAAAAAACCUAAAUAAAACCUCCUCCAUUUUUCAUUUUAUCUUAUAUUUUUAAAUAGAUCUGUUAUGUUUACCUAGCUAUGAGGUUUGUGUAAAAAACUGAAAGUUUGAGUGGUGUGUAAUUACUAAAUUAUCAUAUCCUUUAUUUUUAUUUACCUUUAAUGAGAGAAUUACAAUAAUAAUUUUAUUAAUAAGUAGCUUAAAUAAAUCAAACGAAAACAAUUCAUUAAAUUGAACAGGGGUCGUGCAUGAGUUCAAUUCAACCGGAUAUAUGGUUAUCUUUCCAUUUUGUAAUAUAUAAGGGCGAAAACGACAUUUUAUAUUUAGCCUUAUUUACCAAUUGGCCCCGUAUCUUACACAUCCGUUUUCAGUUGAGCACAGGACAGCCAUUCUUGGUAACGACGUGGCCAAUCAUCAUCACACACUAUUUCGACAAAAAAAAAAUAAAAAUAUAUCAUCAUCGCCCGCUUUACCGCGGCCCGGGGAAUUCUACCCUAUCAAAAAAUCCCAAUUCCAAAACCCUAAUUAUAAAACUGCAAACUUGGAGAGGCUGAGAAGAAGAAGAAGAAGAAGAAGAAGAAGAGAGUGGCAGAGUUGAUUUUCUACUAUCUUCUCCAAUCUUUCACUGCUCCAAGUAGAUUGAAGAAUUUCAGAAGGCAUUGGGCUUCGAUCGAUUCACACUCCAAAAAGCGUCGCCGGAAUCACUGUAAAGUUACUAUGGUAAGUGUUUCCGAUCAAUUCAAUCUCACAAACCGUAGAAAAUUGAUUUAUUUUCGAUAAAAUCGUGUACUAGUUCAUGGAUUACUGUGCUUUGUCAUGGAUUCGGAUUUUCGGUUUUUGGAUGAUUAGGCGGGUCGAGGUGGAGGUAGGGACCGGUUUCCGGAGAGUCGCGGUGGGCACGGGCUGCGGCGGUUGGACUCCAAAGGUGGGAAAGCUCCGCCUUCCAGGAACCUAUGGGUUGGUAACCUUUCUCAUAGUACCGUGGAGGAAGAUCUCGUUAAUCCCUUUCUGCAGUUUGGAGAGCUAGAAAGCGUAGCCUUCCAUCCCGGCCGGAGUUAUGCCUUUCUUAAGUUCAAGAGGGAAGAUGAUGCAAUCGCUGCCAUGGAUUCCCUCCAGGAUCUUCCUGUUGCAGGCAACCCACUGAGGAUCGAGUUUACCAAGGCGGUUAGUUACUUUUUAUUCAAGAUGCUAUUUUUCUAUCUUUGUUGUAAAUAUAUGCGAUGUUGUAAGUGUGCACUGAGUAUGUUUGUGUAUAAUAUAAGUUGGUUAUCUGAAUCGAAGGCCAUGGUAGUUGUCUUGUUCCGUUAUCUUUGAUUUUGAGCAAGAAUAUAUUCCACAGUUUACCAAAUUAUGAUGUCUAAUCAGCUAAUCAAAAUGCUCCAUGAAAAAUGCAUAAUGAUUGUAACAAUGCCACAAUCCACAAAAAUUAUUACAUCCGUAAGUAUAAGAUACUCCUUUCCAGCAUAAUCAUAAAGCUGACAUGCAAUGCUAAUGUGUACAACAACAAAAAUAUAAGUCCCUUUAUUUUAAUAGGGAGCACAUGUAAGGCUAAAUCGAGGCACAUGUCCUCUGCUCAUUCCACGGUUUUCGUCGUGACCAUUCCUAGCAUUCCACAUUUGAACUUUCAAGAUUAAUUCUUUGAAGGUGAACACAUGCAAGGGGAUGCAAACCAAAAGCUCUUUUCUUUCCAAAUGUUUAAUGACAAAACUUGUGACGUAACAUAAUAAUUAUGGGUUGCAUACCUUAUCUAUGAAGGAUGAACAGCCCUGGACUUUUUCCUUGUAUCUUUCCAUAAGAGUAGCUGGAAGCCAUCUACAAGUUGGGCUAGUUGAGGUUUAAUUUAACCGCAAAAUAUGUUGAAUGCAGUGACAUUUAUGCCAUGGCUAGCGUCUCUUAAACCUCCCAUAAGUAAUUUAUCACUACUUAAUAAAGAAGGGCACCGCACACCAUUUUGUCCCUUUUAUCAAUUCUUACUGUCAUUCUUAUUGUCUAUCUGGAGUCAUAAUGCACAUUUCAUAAACUAUGCUGGUGUUUAUAGUUGGGUGGGUUUGAGUGCUGAACCAGCAAUUUUCAAUGUAGUUGUGAUUGUUAGUCCAUUGCCUCAUGUGAAAUUAACAGGUUUCAGGGUAUGCUCUUACACCAAAUUCACUGUGGGGUGGCAUUUUAAACACACAGCGAGAUUUUUUAUAGUACAUAUGAAAGAUUUUGCUAGUGUCAUCUUUUGUAUACACUUGUUAGGGAUGCAAUGUACUUAAUAAAAGAAAAGGGCGAUUAUCAAACCCAAACUAAAAUUUCAUCUAUUAUAUCAAGAGACGGGUGGGAGAAAUCUAAAGAAUUUGUUGUUGAUGUUCCCACCAUUGAGAGAUUGGUCAAGAUUAUGUUUGGUAGGACUAGUUCCCAUACAAGACAAAAGUUUCAGGAAUCAAUCUGUUUACUACUCAGGUGUUAGAGCUUUUAGCAAAUAGCAUCAGAUCUGCAGUUCAAUACAUUUUUCGUUGAGAGAGCACGGAUCACCCUACGUUUUGUUAAUCAUGGAAACAUUUGGACUUUAAAAUACACAUGGUUGAAUUCACCAUAUGUUACUUUCUGUGUUGUCUGUUAAUUUUCCUCUCUUGUUCAUAAUCGUUUACGAUCUACCUUGCAACUUAAGAAAUUCUUAAUGACCUUUUUAAAAUAGUUGUGACCAUAUAUAUUAGAUAAUAGUUCUAAAGAUUAAAAGAGACAUUGAAAUUCCAAUUUAUCAUAUCAAAAUGAUCGUAUAACUAGCAAAAAAUUAAAACCCAUUGAACAAGAAGCAUAAAUAGUCACCUCCUCUUGCUCUUGCAAGGGUGAAAUAAUAUUUUGCUAUGCAACCUCUGCAAGUAUCUCCAAUAACAGUGUAACUCAAUUAAUAAAAUAAAAACAAAUUGAGUCGCUGAUGCAUGCUGCAAGACUGGGCCCGGUUCAAUGAAAACAUGAAAGACUUGGAAAUGGAUUCUUGUCCUCAAUGCAUUUGGCAUGUUUAAAGAAAGAUCCAGCCCACCCCCAAAUUUUGUUUAUUUAGUAUGCAGUAGUUAGAAGCAUCCUAUUCGGAUGCUGUAGCUCAGAUCACAAGAGGAAGAAAGCUUCUUGGGAUAAGACCAAUGUCUAGCAUGUGUUGGCUAUUCAUAUUCUGCAACUCCUCAACCACCGAUUAGUGUUUGAAUUAAUAAUUCAUAUGUAUGUUAAUAUGCUAUAAAAACUUGAUGAUGCUAUGGCGCUCCGAAUUGCAUAUUAUGUUUAGAUUCUUUUCAAGCGUGCUCCCAUAUAUCAGAUUCAAAUGCAGAACAACCAACGACUGCAGAUUGCAUGCAAACGAAUAGAAAUCUUUGUCUAAUUCACACUUCCAACAUUCGUUAUCUGUUAAAAGUAUGCAGCAGUGAGAACAGAGCUUCCUUCACGUUUUCGAUCUUAUGAAUGAUGCAUCACAAUCAUUACUGAUAAUAGAGUUCGUGCAAUCUGCAUUUCACUUCUUUCUUUCUCAAAUAAAAAGAAAAGUAAGUCUGUCGUGAAAAUCCAAUCCACUAUUUUAAUGUAACAACUGGAUACUUCAUGUUUUAGAUUACUCCGGUACCUCCAUUAUCUUCGGCUUUUGUUUCCGUAUCAAUUAUGAUUGUAAUACAAAUCUCAGGCUAGCCUUAGACCAGUUAUUCUUUUAUGUUUUGAGAACUUAUCUAAGAUGGGUUCAUGUGAGUUGAAAUAAGGCGUGUACCAUUUAGUACAUCAGUACAGCUGGAGCACGUUGAAGUCUCGUUUCAGGUUGGAACAUCUGAGCACAUUACUUAAUUCCCCAGAUAAAAGCAUGUCUUGCGAGAUAUUUGCCUGUGUUUACAAUCUUGGCCUUGGGAGGCCAAUGUAGUUUAAAGCACUUUCGGCUUUCUCUUAUUGUUCACUAAUUUGAUCCAGGUCAACAGUGUUAAAUUCCUGCAGUUCUUAAUGGUUUCGCAAUCUUGAUUAUUGCCCUCAGUGAAAAAUCUGUAACAGUUAUUGACCAAGUAUUUGUGUACUCUUGCUAGCAUGAUUUACAGUGUUUCGAGUCAUAGAAUAUUAUUCACAGUACUUAGAUGUAGUAUGUUCUUGUAGACUUCUUGUGCUGAGAUAUCUAUCCGUGAUUCUGAUUUGAAUAAUGAGACACAUUUAGCAGUUACCUUAGCAUGCUUAAUUUUGUGUGUGAAGCAGCAUUGUUCUGUGUUUUCCAAUGUUUGAGUGCAUCUUGUAGUAAGUUGUCCAUCAGCCUUUGUUUGAAAUUUUUUGUUGUGUGUCUGUCUACUACACUAGACUUUCCAAAUAAUUUGCAAAAUGAGGCUUGUUAAUUACUUAAUAAUGUAGAAGUAAAAUAGAAUAUGUGGAGAGCAAAUUUAGUGAGGAUGCUUUAAAUAGUUAUAGUUUAAUAGCUACCUUCAAAAAGAAAAAUAGGAACUGAAUAACAGAAUCAUUAAUGUUGAAUAUAAUUAGAUUCACUGUAAGGACCGUAAUGCAUGAUCUAGUCGAGAAGGAUGUUCAGGAUAUAUUGGUCAUUGGAGUAAUCUUUAUGUGAUUGAACCUGUUUGUUCCAGUUGGAGAGUUGGUAGUUAACUUUAAUAUUUCUUUCAAGAUCAACAAAACAGGACAGUAUUAAUGAUACAAAGCUAAAGUCAACCUAUAUUCGUCCAUAUAUAAGCUUGUUCUGUUCUUACUUUGAUAAAUCUCUUAUCGCAGGAUAAAUCAUCAGCACCAUCGCGUGAAGAAGAUUACUCCCAACGUCGAGAUGAACAACGUACAGCUCCAAGAGGAUCACCUUUUUAUCAAAUGGAGUUUAGAGCACGCCAGGAUAGUCCUGAGCAAUUUUAUCAGGAAAAAUCCAAUAUGAGUGAUAAGAAUGCAGAGCCUAGUGCUGUUUUAUGGAUAGGUUUUCCUGCUUUAUUGAAGGUGGAUGAAAUGAUAUUAAGGAAAGCUUUCUCACCGUUUGGUGAGAUUGAGAAGAUCACUGCAUUCCCCGGUCGUACUUAUGCUUUUGUUCGAUUUAGGAGUGAAGUGUCAGCGUGCAGAGCGAAAGAAGCUCUUCAGGGAAAAUUAUUUGGAAAUCCCCGGGUGCAUAUUUGCUUUGCAAAGAGUGAAACAGGCUCAGCUAAUAGUGGAAGGAAUUCAAUGAGUGUCCCUCCAUCCCCUCAUUUUCAGGUGAAUGGUCGCUCAGGAUCAUCUGAGAAUUUUCGAGAGGACACGAAAUUUGGGAGCUUCACAGGUAAUCCCAGCAUCAGAUCUCCUCAUUAUUUUCCAGAUUUUGAUGCUGUUGAUUCUGAUCCCUAUGGUUUUAAGCGGAAGGGGAAUUUAUGGAGAGGUGAAAACAAUAUGUUUGAACAGAGGAGAUACAAGGAAAUGAGGUCUGAACUAGGACUAUCAGAAGAUAUGUAUGAUCCUCGGGGUAGUCCUAAAAGAGAGAAAUAUUCUCAUUUGAAUGAUUAUUCACAGAGAUUUCCUCAGACAAGUCAACCUUAUGAAGAGCCAUGGGACUUGCCAGAAGAUAUUCAUUUAUUUCAUGGGGCCAAGAAAUUGAAGACAGAGUCUUUUCUUUCGAACAAAGAGUUUCCAGAGUAUCCCCAGUCUGACUACAACCCAGAAAGACAUGGCUUUUCUAGGUCAUACUCUGAUUUUCCCCAAGCUGACAGUUCCAAUAGAAACUUUGAGGGCGGGCCAUUUGGUUACAACCAGAUCCCUGAUCGACCAAUGAGUUUACCUCCAGCUCUAGAAGAAAGGGGUGACCGCUGGAAAGAAUCUUAUGAUGAUUUUCAGGUGAGCUCGGGUUCUCAGCUAGCAAAUCCUGUUGACAGGAGAAGGUUCACUCCUGAACGCGAUCGGCCUUCUUUCAAUGUGUGGAAAUGGGAAGGGACUAUAGCAAAGGGAGGAACUCCUGUCUGUAAUGCUCGUUGCUUUCCUGUGGGCAAACUCCUUGACUUCACAUUGUAAGUAGUAAAAUAUUUUUGCGUAAGUCAAUUUCUGGUUACUUGCAUGAUUAAUUGAACAGAAUCAUUCUCCAGAUAAAAAGAGAAUAGAAUGAAUAGAAUCAAGAAUGUGAAAAGGCUAUAUUUACAUAUUGCCUGUUGUCUUUUAUCUUUAACAGUAGCUGAUUACUAUAACUUCUUGCUUGUUGCGUGUCUGUCAGUAACACGCCAUUUCUAUUAAUGCACAGUAUGCAUUUUUGUUAUCAACAUCAUAACAAAUUACUUAGAUGUGUCAGAAAUGGAAGAGUUCCAGUUAAUUUUCCGUGCAUUUUAGAGUUCAUAAAACUGUGGCUGCCUGGUAUUGCGGCUGAUGUAUCAAAUAAUCAGAACAUUAGCUGCAACAGUUUUAAUUUGCUUUUUCGUUGUUUUUUUCCCCAGUAAGAAGAGGAUUAUCUGUAGGUGACCCAAUUUUAUUGAAUUUCAGAAUCAUCUCAUUUUCAGCUACAUUGAUAGAUUAGUAGAGACUAUACAAUCGAAUCCUUUUUGUAAUUUUGUCGAGUGGUUUGGUCUAAUUCCCUUUGUCACUCUGCAUCGUGAUUAUAACAUUAUUGAUAUUCAUGUCUGAUUCAAACUACAUGGCGCAAUCUAGAUAGACUAGUUCAUCUGCUCUGAAAACAAAAUAAUUUUUUUCUAAUGUUUCGUCACACAUGAUAGUGUUGGAUCUAAUCCGUUAUUAGCACCAAUGAUCUGCUGCAGGCCUGAAUUUUUGGAUUGUACUGCAAGGACUGGUCUAGACAUGCUUUCAAAGCAUUACUAUCAAGCAGCAAGUGCUUGGGUUGUGUUCUUUGCCCCACAAAGUGAUGCUGAUAUUGGAUACUACAAUGAAUUUAUGCAUUAUCUUGGGGAGAAGCAGCGAGCAGCCGUUGCUAAGUUAGAUGACAAGAAUACCUUGUUUCUUGUGCCCCCGUCAGACUUCUCAGAGAAAGUGCUGAAGGUACCAGGGAAACUCAGCAUCUCCGGUGUUGUUUUGAGGUUAGAAAAUCCUAGUUCCAAUUUUGGAUCGGUACACCAACAACCCGAAAGAAAAGACACGAGAUUAUUGUCAUUGCCUGGGGAUACAUCAUAUACAAAGCCAUCAACAGCUUCAGAAUCUAUUCAUUCAUUUACAUCAGCUCCACCGGUGUCAUUUUCAGGUUCAGCUUAUGGUGUUGGAAAUGGAUCUGAUUCUUACAACGAGAGCAGGCACGAGUAUCCACAUCAUAUGGAAAGCCCUGCAUUGGGGCGAAACUGGUCUUCACACAAGCCGCAAAACUCAAUUAUGGAUACUAGAAAUAAAUCAACCCAAAUGCCCAAUAGUUCCAUUGAUUCUAUUUUUCAGGAGCAUAGGAUCAUGCAAAGGGAAGCACAACAGUCGAGCAUUCCAGGUGGAAUUUCUCGUAUUCGAAACAGCCAUUCGUCACAGCAGGAAAUCCAAUCUCCUGGCUUUUUAUCUGUGCCGUCUGAAUCCCUGCAACCUGAGCAACUUGCACAAUUGGCAUCAUCUCUUGGGCAGCAGCAGAGGCAGUCUGCGAGAACUCCAAAUCCAGCUACCGGAGAAGAUUUUAGACAAAGAAACACAAUGAAUGAGUCUGAUAACAUUCCAAGGACAUCCCAGACAUUUGGUAUGCAGAAUAAUGAGGUGAAUUCACAGCCAUCAACAUCUCAGUUUGGUCAAGUCCAACAGUUGCAGCAGCGGCAACAGCAGGUAUCAACUGUGUCUGCAGCGCCUCACACUGUCCAAACAGCGGUUCAGGGAAACCAACAACUGCAAAGCACGAGUACAAAUGAAGCAGUAGAAACAGAUCCACAGAAACGUCUGCAAGCGACAUUACAGUUGGCAGCAGCUCUUCUUCAGCAAAUCCAAGGGAAAGGAAGUUGACCAGUACUGGAAUAUGAUCGUGCUGGUCUCAUCUAUUUUUUGAGAGUGAGUGACGGAUAAAAUUCGAAAUUCAACACCCGUAACGCAGUGCAGUUGCACAUGAAUUUUGAUUUUCCUAUAGUUUGAUGUAAAUCCUCUUCUUUCUUAUUUUUACUGUUGGGUUCAUGCAGUUUGAUGCUUAUUGGUUUGUUUUGUCCAAUGACUCGAAUGGGGUCGUGCUACUCAUCUACAUUCUAUAUUGACAGAAUUGAAGAAAGUUACCGGCUACAUUUGAUAGCUACUUUAUGGUUUUGUCCUUUUUUCUUUCAUAUGUUAGAUAUUCUUCGGCAGGGCUGCCGUAUAGGGCAUCUCUUUCACAGUCGUCAAUACGGCAGCCCUGCAAACAAGACUCAAUUGUGCAGGAACACUUGUAAACUUGUUUUAUGUAAUGUUUUUGUUAAUCGCGGGAACCCGUUUUUCUUUCUCCCACUUACAUAGUGAGAUUAGCAGAAAAGACCAGUAGUAAAGGAAAAGGAAUGAAGAACAAGGCAGAAUUUGAAGAGAGACUAUAAAAUUGUAUUGCCUUUAUUAAUAUGAAGACUUUUAAUGCAAAGUCAAAUUACAAAAUGAAUAUUUGACAAAAUAAAAUGUUACAAAAUCAAUAAGAAUGAAUGAAUACUAAUACUAUAGAACUUGUGCACCAUACAUUUGUGCUACAAACAUAGACAUUCUGACAGCAGCUCAUCAAGCCCAAAAACAGGAGACAUCCGGCUAAACGUAGAAGUAGGUCGAUGCAUCUGUAGCAUUUUCUGUAUCCCUGCAGAGAAUUGAUCGGGCUUCGAUUACUGAACGAGGGGGCUCAAGAUCUUUCUCUUGCAGCGCGUUGCCUUGUAGACGCUGCAUUUGGGAAGCAAACAUAUCGUCCAAUAUCUGCAGACAAAGCAUUAGUGAGAUUAGAAGGUACUGCAAUGAGUUGCCUCUUGCACCAACUAAGUACGAUUUCAAUCUGAAGCUACUUACCCCGAGAGCAUAAUAAGAUCCAUUGUACCAAACUCGGUUUUCCUUCCUGCCUUCAAGGAAUUUCAAAACGAUCUAGUACAGAAGAAUCGAAACAUGUCAGCGUUAAGAAGAUUUAGGAUUAAUGGUUGCGCGAAAUACAGGUCUCUCUAUUUACCUGUCCCGUUCUAUCCCAGAAUCCACGACAAAUUGCGAUAAAUAUUUUGCUUGUAAAGACCUCAUGCAAGUUGGAGAUGGAGUCGACAAGCUGUGAACUCAGUGAGUGCAUUCUUUCACGGACCUCUGCCUCUCCAUCAUCUUCCUUUGUUUCCUCUAGAAUCCUUUUCAGCGUUGUAUUACGGUUAGCUUGCACCUGAAGCAAUCAUAUAUGAGAAACCGUUGCUAGUUUUUACCCCGUUGGACGGAAGUUGAAGUAUUUGAACAAGAGGAAUAGACUUACAUUGCUGAGAAGCUUCCCUACGGUUGCCUGCAAGUAAUUUUUGUAUUUUGUUCUCAAGAGAACUGUAAUGCCAUUCAUCUGCUCCCCGAACAGCGACUUCUUGUUAUCGCCCAUGGCAGGAAGAAAAGAUGCCCAAGCCUUUAAGAUGUCUUCUACUUUACAAUGAAGGACAUCAAGAAUUCUCUUCACGGUGUUUAAAAAAGUUCCGAGCUGGGGAAUACAAGAUAUCGAUAAGAUAUAUAAGCAUAUUAGUAUAUGCAACAGCGACAUAUAAAUGUAUCAGUGUGGGAGGGAUGCCUUUAGGGUUUAGGGUUUAGGGAUGCCUUUAAGUGAAGAGAUCCCCAUUUGUUUUAUUAAAUGCGGAUUAGUUGUGGGGUCCACACCACAUUAAACUUCAAUGAUCGAAACCGUUUAUUUUUCAAGUUGCACCUUAAAGAUUAUCCAAAAUAUUAGCCAAACAAAAUAUUUAAGAAAUUUAUUGAGUUCAAAGAAAUUAACAAACGCUUUGUUCUAUAAGAAAUAAUGAAAUUUCAUCGUGAUAAUUAAAUAGGCAAAUAGUUUUGGAUUAAAUUGAAUUUUUGUAAGAAUGAUUUAUAAAUUGAGACUUAUAAAAAAAAACAGUUCGGAUCGUUGAAGUUCGGUGUAGAGUGGAUCCUACAACUAAUCCCCAUUUUUUUGAAAAAAAAAAAAAAGAUCCCUUUGCAUAAAGGGCAUGUAUAUCUGUGAGUGUGAGUGACACUGUUAGAAUUCUGACUAUCCUCUGAAUGUUGCUCUUUGAUGUAUCCGGCAAUAUACUUAACUUGGCAAUAUAGAGAAUAACUAGAAACACACAAGAUUUAUGCUGGUCCAACAUAACUUUUUCCUAUGUCAAGUAGUGAUUUCUAUGGAUAGAAACAUCAUGGCUUCUUUGGUUCAUAAUAGAGUACUUUUGCAAACCCUAGAAUUAAUCCCUCUCUUUCUUUGGUUCCUGUUUUCCAUUCCUUGAACUUUGCAAAAACCUCGGAAUCCUGAUUUGUGAAAUAAACUCAAACUUUCUGGAAAAAUCAUCCAUAAAAGUAACAAAAUACCUAGAUCCACAGUUGGAUUUAGUUAGCGCAGGACCCUAGACCUCUGAGUGAAUGCAGCCGACUCCUUGCUUUGUCUACCUACUUUGUGGAAACGGUUGGACCCCCAACUAUCAUAGCCGGGCUUGUCUAAACUGCCCUAGAAUAUCAAAUUCUUUUUCAAUCCCGGGACAUAUACGACGUUCCCCAAAGUCCUUAUCACUCCAUCCAACAACUUGAUUCUAACAGAAUUUUAUCAAACCAUUCUCUUACUACACACAUACAAAAUUUGUAUCUAGUAUCCAAAAUCUAUUUUGUGAAAUCCUUGGAGCCUGAUGUUACCGAAAGAAUCUCCCUAUCACUUUCUUCUUUGGUGAUUGCGCUAGCUGAACCUUAAAUACCUUCCAUUUUGGCUUCAUUCUCCUUCCAUCUUGCGACUCUUCCAAUGAUCGGCAGAAUCACAUUCGAAGCAACCUUCAUUUUUUUUUUCUUUUUCUUCUUGGAUCUUGACCUACCCAUGUUGCUGUUCUUCUCUUCCGUCGUCUUUUCCCGCCCCCUCUCAUUUGCUUUGGCAUAAAAGCCUUAAGAGCUUCUGGUUAUAUCAUCGAGUUUAGCAUAUGAUUGAAGGGCUUGAAUUACAUUCUCAAGCUACAGGGACUCCCCUCCAAACAUUAAAGUUGUUUGAAAGUUUCUUCGACCUUCUGAAGAUUGGCUAUGCAAUUCUGGAACCUGCAUACAUGAUCUUCUUUAUCACCUCCUUCUAGUUGAAGCCCGAAUAGUUCAUCCUUGAAAAAAUAGUUUAUUGGACAUGGUUUUGCCCAUAUAAAUCUUCUCUAACUCGUCCCAUGCUUCCUUCAAUCACGUUUCUGUGAUGUGAGACUUAACUGAUUUCGUGAGAUGGAUCUCGAUGGAGCUCUUGGCCUUCUUGAGAAUCUUGGUUCAUGUCUCUUUUGUCAUGGUCGUAGGCUUUUCACCAAGAAGUGCAUCAUCCAACUCCUACUGUAUCAGUAAUUUCUUCAUCAUCCUUUGACAGUCCGUGAAGUCAUGCUGCCAUCAAAAGGUUUUAACGCAGGCCUUAAGGUUCCUAGGUCUAUGGUUUCCUUUCCUCUUGCCAUUGCAGAACACUUUGAACCAAGCUCUUGAUACCAAUUGUUAGAGUUUGACUCCCCUUAAGAUCUCGCUCUUUGAUGUAUCUGGAAAUAAACUAAACUUAGCAAUAGUUUUGCCUACGUCCAGUUGUGAUUUCUCUAGGAAGAAAAAUCAUGGCUUCUUUGAUUAAUGAUAGAGUAUACAUCACUUUUGCAAACCCUAGAACUAACCGCUCUCUUUCUCUCAACUAUCUCCCUGAUUUUUCCUUGGAACUAAUCCUUCUCUUUCUUUGGGCUACCUCUCUAGGUUUCUACUACUUAUUGGCCCUUCCCGCACCCUUAUUUAUAAGUAUAAGGUGUGGUUUACGCUUCUAUAAUCUGAUUAGGUUUCCGAAUCUAUUUGGGAUAGGAAAGUACACUUCCUUUCUUAUUCCAAUUCUUCUUCUAGGAUUCCUACUCUAAUUGUGCAAGAAAACUUUAAUUAUUUCCUAAUCAUUGGAGAACAAGAAUAUGUGCACCUUAGCCUUCCUAAACAAAAUAGGACUCUAAACCAAAAGAUGAACCAAAUCCCUAUAUUUACAACAUCUAAUUCAUUACAUUGCAUGGGAAAAUUUGCAAUUGGAGAACUCACCUGACUAGGAACGGUGUAGAUUGUGACUGAUUGUCUUCUUGUCAGCUUCUGGACCUGCAUAUUAAGCCUCUUUUGGAUACCAUCUUUCAAUGGAGUCAAGAUAUCGUUAUAUUGUUUCUCCAAUGCUUUUAUGAUUGCUCUUUCGACAUUAGCUACAGCCUGCAAAGAGCCAACAAAACAGCUUAGAUGAAUGUAUAGGGCCGAAUCCAGGUGGGGGGUAGAGAGAGACAUUUCUGAAAGCUCUUUGAUAAUACUAUACGAUGAGAUGAGAACUCACUUGUUCCAAAAUCAAGGAGUAUUGAGGCCAUCGAUUGAGUACCACCUCGUAUUGAAUAAGGGUCUCUCUGAUAUUCUCAUACAUAUCCUCAGCAAAUGGUGAGGUGGAACUAUUUGUUGACACACCAGACCAUGGCACCUGAAUCAUUAUUCAGAUCUCGUUAGUUACGCACAGUUCCUCAGUUGAACAAUUGCCUUCGGUGGAAGUUUGCGCUAACAUGAGCAAGAACAUCAAGGAAUAGACUACACAUGGCAUGCUACAUAGAAAAGUUCUUGAAGCGAAGUUAUACCUUUUCUGCCCUGCAACGUUCAAGUAAAUUAAGUUGCAUAUCCUGUACCCAGACCAUUAUGUAAUCGUGAAACAGACGCUUUGAGUCAACACCACCCUGCACUAGACUAAAGCAAACAAAACAUGAAAUGAGAAAUUAUUUAAAGUAUACAUUCUACAAAACAACAGAAACUUCGUUCAAGAAAAUCAAACCGCAAAAAUUUAUUCAAGUGUAUGCUAUGAGGGAUUUUGGUCCAAAUCUCUUUCACAGACCUUAUGUUCCAUGAUUCAAGGUUUCUUUCAAAUUCGGCAACUGCAAUUAAAAGCUCAUUUACAUGUGGCUGUGGACCUGAUGGAGGCAAGGCAGCAAGAAACGCUUGAAGUCUGUUGUACAGCUCAGUGCUGUAAAUGGCAGCAGCUAUAUUCGAGAGAUCAAUUGAACUAGAAAUAAGUAAGAUUUGUCAGUAUUCUCGCACUAAUUUUAUUAUAUCGAUCCAACUGUAAUUUUGAACUAUGAGUCAAAGUAUUAGGUGCAAAAGACAAAGGCCUGUACCUGGGGAGUACAUGCUGGUUGUGGAUUUUGAUGUCUGCCUGAAUUUCCUUUUGUAUAUUUAUGCAUAAAUUCUUCAUUUUCAGAUAUGCCGUUGAGAUGGAUAUGGAGUCCAUAAGGAAACCUUCAGAGUUACUUGACACAAACUCAUCAGUGUCUAGAGUGUGCUUUCGGUACCUCUUUUUUGCUGCUGUCUGGAAACAAAUACAUUUGGUUUAGAACUCUAUUUUCCUGAGUGCAAAACAAACCCAAGAAGUUGUUGAUCCACGUUAUAUGUUGGGUUGUUAUACAGGAAAUUUACGUACGGACACUGCCUCUAGAAAAGAAAAAAAAAAGAAGCUAUAAGUGCAUGUACCCAAGUGUAUUCUAAUAUGCAUAACGGGCAUCUUCCCAAGAGUUUUCUAAUUCCAUGAACUCUCUAAUUUAUCGACCGUAAUGAACCAACACUAGGAAUCUGCAUGUUAGGUCAUCAAAUAUUUGAGGAUAAGAAAACUAAAGACCUCCAACUUCAUAAAAAACAUUCAUAUAUAUGUAAGUUCGGUCUUGGAAACGUAAGAAGAUAAUUAUUAACAUUAUUCAUGUACCUCCAAAUAGUUGCGCAGCAUAGUUUGGGCAUCCAGAGUGAGGAUAUCGUGAAGGAUCAUGUAUACUUGUACAGAAGGAGCUAGAGCUGGUGCUGCAGAAUCUGGGGUUGGACCAAAUGAGGAUGUGAAUCCUGUGGGUGACCCUUCAUCUAAUGACUUGUAGUUUUCGAAAACAUUAGCCAAAAGACUCUCGAUUUGGUUUUCACAGUCUAACAGUAUACUUUUCUGCAAGAAAGCAAGAACAAAUCCAAUUGAAACAAAGGGAAGUUAAAAUUAAUUUCAGAGGGAAAGUCAAAAAUAAAAAAAUAAAAAAAAUCCUAGUAUUCAGUGGACAGAUACCAAGAAAAACAAAUUGGUUCAAAACAUUUAGUAACAAGUAAUCUUGUUCUUUUGCAGAACCAUACUUUACCUCCUGCCUUGUCAAACAUUUCUGACUCCUGGCCUUUAUUAUAGGUACAAGUAACUCAUUCACAAGCUCUAAGCAAUCUUUUGUCGGAGUUGCCACAUUCAUCACAUGUAACAGAUAUCUACGAAGAAACCAAAGGGAUGUAAAUACGAUGCAAGCCAUCACAAAGAGAAGAGCAUAAUAGUGCUUUCUUUGUUUUAUUUUCGUACAAAGAAAUUGCUACUUAUUAGAUUUAAAAAAUUGUACAUUUGAUACGUACCUCAGCUUUGUGUACGACUGGGAAACUUCAUAAUAUUCUGCAAACUCAGUCAACAACCACUUCCAAGUUCCAUGCAACCAUAGGUUCCGGGAAUGAAAGUUUUGUGCCCGCAUAGCAGCCUCCAGCAAUAAAUCAUAUGCUAGAGUCUCUGCAACUGGUCCACUCUAUCAUAUGUGAAAAAGUAGAGGUGAAAACACUUAUCCUACAAGUUUGAUGACUAAAUAAAAAUAACAAUGCCAAAUUUUUGGACUGAACACAGAAGAAAUGACAUUUCUGAGUCUGUGACAAGAUUUUCUUAGACGAGUUGAGUUGGAAGAAAACAAACCUUGAUAUGAUUAGCUUCAUCACUUGUUAUCAUACUACCGAUGUUGAGCUGGAUUUUUCCAAUACAUUCUUGAUCAUCAUGGUAUAAAGGCCACCAACGAAGUUUAUCACUCUGCAUAAUUAAGAAAGUCACAUAAUAUAACAUGCAGGUGGUAGAAAGAUAUUGUUCUGCCUUAAGAAAUCAACGUUGGAUGAUAGAGGAAGGAUUCAUACGGCGCUGUCAUUCAAGGAUGAAAUAGGAAUUGUAGUUCGACCUUGGACUGAUUUUUUCGUGUCUUGAACUUCUACCAAAAGAGCAUCCACUUGACUCUCUGGAAAACUGAAAGUGCAUAGACAUGUAAGACCUUUUCCACGUUAACAUCACAUGAAACUCUCAAGUCAUGACCAAAGUCCCCUGAAAGGGACCUACACUUUGGUAUAUUAGACUAUGCCACGGAACUUCAAGUUCCAACACAAGUUACCAGCAUAUCCCUUAAAAUGAGGGUUAAAUGCCAACAUGACACCAGGGUUUAAGCAAAACAGAAACUUACAAUACAUGGUAAUCACCGCUUCCAGGGUGCAAACAAAUUGCAGAACUUGGCUCUACUUCGGUAUCGUCAGUGGCACUACUAAGUUUGAGUAUGCAUGAAAGUGGCUCUGCACACACAAUAAGAUAGGCGUCAACAUCCAUUAAUUUCAGUAUAAAAUACACAAGACAUAAGUUACGAAAAAUCCAUCAAGAGAUGCUACACAUUGAUAUAUCUCUUACUUAUCCUAAUCAGUAACAAUAAUUUUCUGGGGUUGUAAUAUAUAAAGUAAAUGGCGGCUGCAUAUUAAGUCUUCGGAGAAAAUUUAAUUUGAGAACAAAAUAGGGUUCUUCGUACGGCUCAAACCUUGUGGUGUAAUUGAGAAUGACGAUGACUUUAAAGAAUUUAUGCCAGUUUUUACUAGUGAUGAAACAUGUCGGACGUAUUCUGCCCCUGCUUGUAUGUACAUUGCACUUCGCUGUGAAUAUGUGCUCUUGAGUUUCCUUCUGGGUAUUACUCGAAGUUUCUUCACUGCCAUCAUUCAAAAACUACAUCAAAUUACAAAUACACUAUUUUGUCUACUUUUAUCAGCUCAGUGUCUAAAAUAAACACAAAACCCUUAGAUUAAAUUAUGCUAGCAUAGCUAGCAACCUUCUAGUAAUGUCAAGAUAUAUCUAAAAAAUAUUUCAUACUUGUGGCCUCCCAAAACAGUUGUAAAUAAAGAAAUUAAAUGACUUUGGUAAAAUUGUUUUAAUGUCCAAAUCCAGUGGAUAUGUUUCUUAAACUGAGAUUAACUCUGAGCCAUUCUUCAACAUAUUACUAAUAAGCUUAACCCAUUUAUAAGAUCAUACCUUCAACUCUGAUCUUUCCAACCACCUUCUUUGCUUUCGGAGCAAAAGUUUGUUCUGCAUUCCGACUACACUUUGCUUCUAGUGGCUGCGCUCCUCGGGCUGGCAACAAAAAUGUGUUUAGCCUGUAGAAUCAGAGUGUAAAUCUUAAAUGACCAAUCAAACCCUGAGAACUAGCCAUCAGCCAUGAAACUUCAAAAGAACUAAAUAUUUAGGGUUAGGAAAAGGUAGCUAACCCAAAAGCAUUCCGAAGAACCACGCACUCGUCACGCAGAAAUUCAGGUGCCUCAGUGCAGCCUCUUGCCCAUGCUUGUAGGCAUAAGCGUAUACAUGCCUCGUGUGCAACCAAGGUUUGCCAGGCAUAUUGGCCACUGCAAUGAUUCAAUUUGAUACCAUAAAAAAAAACAAUCAAAAAACAUUUUUCAGGUUAGAAUGACAAAAGUAAUAUGUGUGCAGAAUCUUUUCAUGCAAUAAACUUCACUAAAUCGAAAGUAACAGUAAACAAGUAUCUGUCUUCAUAUGAAAUUCAAUGGUGGAAGAACCUGGUAUUAUAAUAGGAAUGGUCUAAUUGGCUGGCUUGCAAAUAAGGGACUUUCGCUUCUGUUUCUCCAGCUAUGCUUUUGUUCAUUCUGCAGAACACAAAGUCAAAUCAUGCAAGAACUAUCAAAAACCCGAAACGAGAACGUAGAGAAAUCAAAUGAAAGUCACAGUCCAAAUAAAAUCCUAAAACAAGAAGAGCAACUCUAUUCAAUACCUUUCACCAAGUUCAGAAGCUUUGAAAGAACUAGUAUCCAAAUCUGCUAAACCCUCUACACUCCCAUCAAACCCCAUGGAUCCCCUUGAUGGGCAGGUCGAAUUUUCAGCUGCAUUGCUCUCUCUCACCCCCUCAGAAAUUUCCUGCCCUCCUUGAAUCUCAUCAUCAAUACCCGCCUCGUCUCUCCCAAUUUCGAAAAUCGGAGGUGCACUAGGAGUUCCCAAAUCUGCUGAAUCUCUGUGCACACCACAUUCAUCACCACUUUGGGCAGUGCCCUACAAUACAAAAUUGGAAAUACCACCAACAAAAGAUUCAAAUUACAAACAAGCACACACCCACUACACAAAAACAAAAAAGAUCAUUAUUUUGCAUCAAGGCCUACAUUGAAAUUUCGAAGUUGAGCCCUUUUCAGGAGCUGAUUGCCGGCACCCGGUGUCAAAGUUUUCGGGGGGCAUCUCUUCUUGAAACCCACCUCACCGUCCGUAAAUCUUCUACAAUUUCCGGGCAAUUCAACCCUCAGACCCUCCUUCAACAAACCUCUAUUCAACCCGGUGCUAGGCUUAUCCCUAUAACCAAACACCUCCUCUUCUUCUUCCUGAUAAUACUGUUCCAUCGGCUUCGACUCUUCCUCGAAGUAAAUGGCAGACGAACCCAUAUCCGAAACCGAAUCGACGCUCUCGUUGUCGUCAUCAUAGUCGUUUUCGUCGUCGCUGCUUAGACACGGAGCCACCAAGCUGUGAGGAGCGAGCAGGCCGGAGUGGAACUUGAGCGGAGGCAGAGCGGGACCACCGCCACCGCUGUUGGUGCCGAAGCGCAGAGGCGAUAUUGGGUAUGCGUCGGAAGUGAGUUUCUCUGCGAGAGGCGACCGGAUCGCUUGUGGGGUUUGUUGCUGUUGUUCUUGCACUUCCAUUUCUGAUUCCUGCAGGUAUUCAACUGAAAAAUGAAAGUUGAAUUCUCAAAAAUUUUGAAAAUUUAUGAACUUUCGGGAUUUUGGUACCUGUUUGAUCCAUUUGAUUGCACUCUCGUCGAGGCCUUCGGUGAACAUUGUGCUGGGUUAUGGGUUAGAGAGAGAGAGAGAGAGAGAGAGAGAGAGAGAGAGAGUUGUGGGGAGCAGAGAGAGGAUGGAAGAAGAAAGAGAAGAGAAGAGAAGAGGGAGAUAGAGAGAGCAUAGGUCGGUGGGUUUCGGCUUGCAACGGCUAGUUAGACUUUUUAUUAUUUGUUUUUUUUACGCAAAACGGUAAAAGGCACCUUUCUCUUCUUUUUCGAAAAAAUAACAAUUUAAGAAGGGGGCUUUUGCAUGUCCUAUUUUCUAACUCUCCUUUGGUCCCGAUCUAACUUAUAAGCUUUCGAAACCUGUUGUUGGUGUGAAAGAUAGAUUUGUGGUCAAAAGAAAACUUAAAUGUCUUUAUAGAUCUUUCCGACCCUUAAAAAAGAUGGAUAAUUGUGAUUUCCCACUAGUUAUCCUUUUUUUUUUUAAAUACUAAUAAGCUUAUGUAAACAAAAUUUAGAAAAGAGAAAUAAACUAGUAUAACUAACAUACCUCAUAUAUACCAUGAAAUUGAGUUCUUUAAUAGUGUUGAUAAAUUAUAUCUCAUGCAGGUUCGUACUUAAGCAUAAUCAAGUUGCCUAAAAUAGCCUUUUUUACAAAAGAAAUCAGCUAAUGGCUUCGUCACAGCAGUCCAUCUUUUCAGGGCUGAGAAGACUCACAAAGGUAUUUCAGCCUUCUUUUGGCCACCAUUGUGUGAUUCAUUAGCGCCAGGAAUCGAACCUAAGAUAAGUAUGACUUGAAUAAAAAUAAAACAAAUCGUAAGAUUUUGUUUAAAUUAAAUUAUUCGGUUGGUCUCCUAAGGUCUCGGGUUCCUUCGCCCAUGAGCGGUAGGUCUCGGGUUCGAGACUUGGGAGCAGCCUCUCCAUAAAUGGGGGUAAGGCUAGCCGACAUUCACCUCUCCCAGACCCUGCGUAAAGCGGGAGUCUUGUGCACUGGGUACGACCUUUGGUCUCCUAAGGUCUUCAUUUUAAGGACAUGUGAGGAUCAAAUGCAUAUUAGUCACAAAACUAUAUUAGUUUAGAUCCAAAAAACUUAAAAUAUUUGACAAUUUAAUAAAGCAAAACAUGAGUUUUCUAUUGGUUCAUGGAUUUUGAGUUAGUUUUGGUUUAUUAAGUUGUCAAAUAUUUUAAGCCUUUAGACCUAAACUUCCAGAAUUUUGUAGUUAAUAUGCAUUUGGUCUUCACGGGUUUUUAUCUUGAGGACCUUAAGAGAGUAGAACUGUAAGACUUGAAUUUCAGAGAAAAGGAAAUAAGAGUAAAGUACAAAUAGUAAGUGUUGUUGUAAGUCACUACAUUUAUGAUUUUAGAUGUACCGUUAUACACAACAACAAAAUGACUCCGAAUCAAACUAUAUGGCAACUGGAAGAGCUUUGAACCCUUUGCAUGUUUCCACAAGAGAUCUUCCAACCGUGUUGCUCACCCUUUUGGCUAGGGGUGGGUUCGGUUUAAAUCGGUUCGGUUUUUUGCCAAAACCGAAACCAAAUUGAAAUUUCGGUUCGGUUCAGUUCGGUUCAAUUUUUUUUCGGUUUUUUUCGGUUCGGUUUUUUUUCGGUUCAGUUUUUUUCCGGUUCGGUUUCGGUUUUUUUUUUUGUUUUUUUUCAAAAAAUGAAAAACAUUGAAAUUUUAAAUUUUAACAUAUCCAACACAAUCAUAACAUAAACAUUCUAACUAGAAUCAAAGACAAUGAAAAUAAACAUUUAAAGUUGAACUAAAAUCAUCAAUCAAGUCUUUCAAAGUCCAAACUAACAACCUCACAACACAAAAUCACACAAAAAUCGUACAAAUGACUUAAAAAAGUAAAAUUGUAUGAUGUUGUUCAAAGAUCAGUUGUUUGCUUGUAACUGCAUGUUGACAACUUGAUUAGUAAAGGUAAUGCGUGGGUGGAUUUAUUUAGUGUGUGUUGGAUUCUUUUCCAUCACAAAUUACCCAAGUAAUCUACCCGAAAUAAAUGUUUAUGGAUUAUGUUACAUGUUAUAUGAGAGUAGAUUUGGAAAAGAAAGCUGGCGCAGAAGUAGACACUGCUAUGGAGAUGGAUGUAGGUACUUCGGGAAGAGGUUUGGUUCCGGAACCUUAUAUGGGGGAGAAAUAAUAGGUUAGGGUUUAGAGUUUUUAUAGGCAUUUUUUUAAUAUUUUGAGCUUAAAGUUUGGCAACACAUUGGGUUAGCACAUUUUAACUUACAAAUUGGGUUUAGAAAAUAAUACCCAAAACAAAUAAUUAAAUAAAAAAAUUAAUUUAAUUAAUUCGGUUCGGUUCGGUUUGAUUCGGUUUCUAAAUCACUAAAACCGAACCAAACCAAAAGAAUUCGGUUCGGUUCGGUUUUUUCAAUUCGGUUCGGUUUUUUCGUUCGGUUCGGUUUUUUCGUUCGGUUCGGUUUUUUCGGUUUCGGUUAGGUUUGGUUUUCGGUUUUCGGUUUUCGGUUUUUUGAACCCACCCCUACUUUUGGCUAAGUGUUCUUCCUUCAUUAUCUUGUUCUUUAUGUACCGCCAUAGUUACUUCCUCUCUAAGAAAGUGGUGUAAAAUCUUCUUAUUGUUUGGAUCAAUGUGCGAAGGGACUUGGACCUUCGAAGGAAAGGUACUACUAGACUAAUAGCCAGUGGGUGAUGUAAAUUAUUUUUAUAAUGAAUAAGAUCCCUCUCGGGCAUAAAUGAAAGACAACAAUGGAGUUUCUUCAGCAUUCAUAGCGGACUUCAGAUAAUUGUAUCAUUACGUUAAAAAGGAAAGAUAGUAAUAAGUUGCUUCUGCAUUUUCCAUAGCGGGCCCUUCCGACAAACUAUUAGCUUAUUGGUCAAGAGUCCUUCAGAUAAUUGUGCCGUUACGUAAAAAGAGAGCAAUGAAUUGCUCACGCAUUUGGCGCAGUCGACGUCUCUGAAAGGCUAUUAUCUUAUUGCUAAGUGUCUCUCAAAUAAUUGUCUUGUUGUUAUUGACCUAUGAGGGCUCUCGGCCACAUAGAUAGCUCAACGUGUCAUCAACGCUCAACCUUGAGAUGUGGAUCGUCCAAGCCGCAUUAGGUUAUAAAAAAAAUAAAAAAAAAUUAAGUGCAACAUAGCUAAAAUAAUGGUUGGUUCCUUUUGACAUGUAUAAUAAAGCAGAAGUGAUUUUCGCACUCUUUUUCUCAUUGUGCACAUCCGUGUUUAGUUUUAACUUCUAGAUUGAAUCUAUCAAAAGAGAAUUAACAGACAGAAACAAAUAGAGGUGCGCUAAGGAUGAAAAUAAGUGUGCAGAGAAAUUUUUUUGAAGUGAAUGUGAACAAAAAAUGAAGUGACUUACUUAAAAAUGAAAAUAAACUUUUUUUUAACACGUAUCAAGAUUGUGAUUUACCUAUAAUGAUAAAAGAAAAACAUCUUGUUACAUGUAAGAGUAAGGUAUUUUCUUCUUAAAUAUAUGUCUACCAAGUACCAACCAACACUAAAUGAGCAAAACAAAGGAAGCUGGAAAACUGGAAAAGCAAGGCAUGCCUUUCAAACCAAAGGUCAGAUCAUAUUCAUUUAGUAGCACUACAAGUGCAGUCUGGCAUUAAAUCCUUGGGAGUAGUAACGAAGGAGAAGGUAAAGACAAUUAAUUCACAUGAAACUAACUGGUGUAAUGGAGCAACGGGUGAAUAUGGUCUUUCUCUUUAACUCACUGUAUCCUGAGUUCAAACUUUCCCGCUCUUUACAGUAUAGCUUAGAAUAAUAUUAUCGUUGGCAAUAAAAUGCAAAAAAAAGAAAAGAAAAAAAGGACUGGAGUAAUGGCAUAGCUUUCCACGUUUCCCUUCAUGCAGUAGAAAUUAAAGACAAACCUGCUGGCCUUGGCCUCUUCUGUGCCUUCCUCAUGUAACCUCCAAUUCUGUGCUAGCUAGCUAGACAUCACCACAGAAGAGCUACCUUUUAUACCCGUUGGGUUUUAUUGCGUUUCUGCAUUUGCUUUUGCUUUGCCUUCUCUCUUCUGAAAAGAAGAAGGGAAAAAUGGUUGGUUUUGGCUGUGGUGGUGAUGAUGAACAGGAUUUUCAAGGAUCUUCACCGACUCCUACCGUCACGCAUAGCAGUGAUAGCGUUGUUGUGGAGGGUGAGGAGGCGGCAGCAGUGGCGGAGGAGGAGGAGGAGGUUGAUCGCGAAACGUGUGAUCUUCAGCUGCCUCAAGACCGAGUUCUGGCUGCGAAGCUCAGACCCCGCCUUCGAUGGACUCCUGAGCUUCAUGCCUGCUUUGUUGAUGCUGUCAAUCAGCUUGGAGGCCUUCAUAGUGAGUACCCUUCUCCUUCUUCCUUGGCUUUGAGAUUUUUCGCAUGUUUUCGGAUUUCGGUUAUCUGAUUUUAUCACGCGUUUCAUCUUGCAGAGGCAACUCCGAAGAAAAUCCAGGAGGCAAUGGGUGUCCAGGGGAUAACUCUUUUCCACUUGAAGAGCCACCUCCAGGUCUGUUUCAUCAAUGCAUGAUUCAUUGAUGGUUGAGGAAAAAUUCUCGAAAAAUAUUCACAUACAAAACCGGUUACAAACUCUUAAUAAAAAAAAUAGAAUUAGAUGAGCAUUAAACUAAGACAUAUGUAAGCAAAUGGCACUUUACGAGACUAGCAGAAAGCAAUCAUGCCUAUGCACCCUAGUGCAAGUUCAACCCCUCCGGAUCCCCUUCCCCUACCAACUAACAAUUUGACCAACAAAUGCUAUCAUUUGUGCAGAAAAAAAAAACACAAUAUGACAUGUAAAUUGACAAAGAAAACCCACAAAUUUCUCCCAAAUAUGGCCUCAAAUUUAUAGUGUUUUAGUGGCAGAUUAGAUUGAAAAGUUUUCACUAGUUUAUUAAAAAAAAAUAAUACAUUAAGGUACUGAAUUAGGAAGGCCUCAUUGCACUUUCGCCCUUGGCCUCAUUGCAUUUUCGCCCUUGGCCUCAUUGCAUGUUCGUCUUACGCUUCAGUUUGCACUGAAACAGUUUUGUUAGUGUUCCUCGUAUGUAAAAGUUUGUAACCAGUUUUGUUUGCGUAUAUUUACCGAAGUUCUAUUGUUAAGUGCUAAUAGUACCAUAUAACUUUUCAAAUUUCACUCAAAGUUAUUGACGUGGUAAUCAUUUUUGCAGAAAUACAGACUUGGAAGGCACGGGGUGAAGGAAUGGAGGGAGGGGACUCAAACCUGUAUGUUCUUUUGCAAAAACUUGCUGCAGUAAAAAUAUACCAGUAACAACGUCCUUUACUAAACAGUUGAUAUAGUGAUGAAAUUAACUUGCGAGUUGUGAAAGAAGUUUCAUGUUUGAGUUGCUACAUUUAGAUUUUCACUGCCACUAAAUAAAAGAGAACUCAGUUUCACAGGACUCGGAAGAAGGCCGAAGCACCAGUAGUACUUCCUCUCCCUCGCCCAAGCUAUCCCGGAAAAAGUAUGAUUUGCACUGCUCCUCAAUCUUCUAUAUGAAUGUACUUGUUAACUUAUUCCAAAAGGUAGUUGUUUUCGCACUCUCAAUUUUAGCUUAUGCAUUUCUGUCGCUUGAUUCUCCUUUGAUUAUCCAAUCCGAAAGGUGGAAACAAGAGGAUGAGUGCGGAAAUAGAAAAUGAGAGUGCGGAAAAUCAUUACCCUCUUCAGAAAUUACCAUUACAAAGGUUGCGUUUUCAAGUGCAUUAUCUUGUAAAUGCUGUGAUGUUUUAUGUUUUGGGUUGUGGCUCCAUGCAUAGGCACUCUUAUAAACUAGUGAAGGAAGCUCUAGAUGAAGAAAGAGAUAGUAUGCAAGUUGAGGCAAGUUUUCGAGUUCGGAAACUAAUUUGGGAACUUUAAGUUGAUAAAUGUAAACCUACUUCUCUAUUCAUGAUACACAACUUUGCAGGUUGGGAGGCGAUUGCAUAUCCGUCAGGAUGCUGAGCGGAGAUUCAUGAAUUUCGCGAUGGAGAAUGCAUGUAAGAAGCUUGCUGAUCAGUUUAUUGGUGCUGCGACAGCCGCAGCCAUACUUAACGGCAUUGCAGGUGUAGGAACUUUGGAACUAUACCCUGCAUAUCAGAUGACAGAGGGAACGGGUAUGCAGCCUAGUCUUGAAGGCCACACGACCUCUCACGGGCAUUCGGAGAAUUCAUCUGUCGAAGAUUUCCAUACUCGUGCCGAAGAUGACGAGAAAACGGAGGAGAGCUUGGACAAUGACCCUGCAGAAGCUUACCUGAUCAACCCGGAUCCAGAUAUGGAGUGAUAUGGCACUCUGGAUGAAGGAACAAAAUCACCCUUGUGUUGUUUCCUUGUGGAGUUUCAUAAGUUAAGAUUUACCCUUUGCCUUUUGGUGUAAAAUUUUGCCAGCCUAUGUUUGCUGAAUUGGCAAGUUUCACUUACCAAUGAACAGUAAAACAGUAAGAAUUUUGAGUAAUUAAACGUCUGUUUGAUAACCAAUUCAGUUUUCGAGAAAACUAAAAACUGAAACAUGUUCAGAUAACCAAUUCAGUUUUUGAGAAAACUAAAAACUGAAACAUGUUCAGGUAAUCGUACUCCUUUUUCAAUUUUCUGAAAACUAAAAAUAAAUGAUUCUCAAACGCUCCUAAGCUUCAGCUUAAACAAAGUUAAACAGUUUAACUGAACUGAAUCCUAUGUAUCGACUUACCAGCAAAAAAAAUCAAGCUUUUGAGAAUUAAAAGAAUUAUCCAAUUUACCUUUCCUUUCAAAUACGAAAUAGAAGAGAAUACAAGGAUUGAAGGUCCACGAAUUACAAUUUCUAACACAAACAAUAUGAUAUAAAGUAAAAGCGCAACACUAGUGAAGCAGUAAAGCAAAAUGGGGAUGAGGGGUAAACGGAGAACUGCCGCUGGUGACGUCGCAAACGAGGACAGCACGCAGAAAACAAAGGUCUUCAUGCACUAUCAUCGGAGAGCCGCAAGAGAUACCGCAACACCAUCAGCUUUCGGAUGCAACCAAGUGUAAAGGCUAAAAUGAUUUAACAAAAGCACUUCUUCCUCCUACAUAUAGCAGCCUCACAUUUCCCAACUGUUUGAAUACAAUGCCAGCCAACACUUUUCUAGUCGAUCUUUACGGAUGAGAAGAGGUAAUGAACAAAGUAGAAAGACAUGAGAAAGCCAAUGGUGCCAGUUGACAACAUGAUUGCAGUUGCCAUGAUCAAUGAAUAACCGAGGUAAAGGAUAGCCGACACAGGCCCGCUCAAACUCUGCAGGUCAAAUACCAGGUAAUUGAUGGAGUACAGGAACACGUAAAGGGAAACUGAACCUGAGGCAAAGAAAGCCUUCCACCACCACCUCCAAUCCUCCACACAAAGAUGCAUGUAUGUGAGAACUACUGAAACUUCAGCACAAACAAUAACCAACAACAUAAGCACUAUAAAAAGGAAACCGAAGACAUAAUAAAAUCUUCCAAGCCAGAUGCUAGAAAGGAUGAAGAAGAGUUCAAUGAAAAGGGUUCCAAACGGAAGUGUCCCAGCACCAAGAACAAGAAGCCAUGAUGGAUAUUUGCGCGCAGGAAUCUCCCUUGGAAUCUGGUUGGUUCUCACGGGAUAUGAAAUUGGCUCAGCUCGUGCGCCUAAGAAUCCUCCGAGAAGGGUGAGAGGAACGGAAAUGCAGAACCAGAGGGAGAUGAGUAUAAAAUACAAAGAAAUGGGAAGAGCACCAGUACUCUUGCUGCCCCAUAGAAUGAAAUUCAGUAUUGUAAGAAUCACAAAGACGAUUCCAGGAAAGAAACAUGCCACAAACCAGGAAACCGAUCUCCACCCUUCAGAAGUUCCCUUUAUGGUUCUCCACAUACGGACAGCAACAUAACCAGCAAUAAUCCCAAGGAAGAGAUAUAGAAUGAUCAUUCCUGUCAGUAGCAUUCCUCGUGAAGCUGGUGACAUGAAACCAAAUGCUGCAAAGAUGAUAGUGACAACUGCCAUCCCAGUAAUCUGAACUCCAUCCCCAACCAUCACGCAAAGAAGCUUUGGAGAAUCUGGUUCUCUGAACACAUCUCCCACAACAAGCUUCCACCCAGAGAGCUCCUCAUUCAUCUGAGCUUGAGAUUCUUUGUCGAGUUCUUCGUAUCUUGUUAAAUCCCUCCUCACCGUCCUUAGGAAUAUGACAAAAACUAUACCAGCUAGGAAAAAGAUCACCAUUAAUGAAUUCAGAAUAGAGAACCAGUGCACACGAGCACCCUCCAUCUUCAGAUAAGCAUCCCACCUUGAUGGCCAUCUUGUAUCACUUUUCACAAACUCAACCUCAUAAGUAAAUGAUACUUUCUCUUGCUGCCUUAUUAUUUGAGCCUUUUCGAGCUCUGCGGGGCAACUUACAGGUUUGAUAUUUUCAUACAUAGCUUUUUUCUUCAUGGCCUCUGGGUCGUAUUUAAUGCUACAAGGGUAAACCUCAAAGCCAACAAUCUCAAACCCAGAUGCCUUCUUCUUAUCAGCUUCCGAAAUGACACCCAUGCCUUCUUCCCCAGUCCCAAUUAUCUGCACACCACUCCCUUCAUACUCGUGAAUCAUAACCCUGAACUUGAGGUGAUUGAUGAUGUAAUCUUCUUUACUGUUAGGUGAUGUGUACCCAACAGGAAACCCAGUCCACUGAAUCUUAACCCCAUUUUGAUAAGCAUAUCUCAUUGCGGGCAAAUUAUCAAGGAUCAUAUUUACCUGAUACAGAUCACGGGUUCUCUGUUUCAGCAGCUUUACGUCGUGCUCGGUCAAAGAAUCUGUGGUACACAGGUAACGAGUCUCAUUCACGUUCAUGUUAAAGCGGUAUGCAGAGUUCUCGAUCUCAUCUCCCAUAAGAAGUUCCCCGAGAUUCUCAGCACUUUUCUUGAUGCCUUCAGGGGGUUUGCAAUAAGGGAGACUGUAGUAGCUGAAGGGCAGCUCAGUCUCUAUAGAAGUCAAGGAGUUAACUUUUGUAGUGAUUUCUUGCCCCUUCGCAUAUGUAUGCAUGUAGCUUCCGGGGAGAUAAAACCCAUUACAGGUGUGCACAAAAACAACCAAAACGAGCAGAGCCCAUUUGAUUGAGAGCAUUCCCGGAUUCAAUAUCGCCAUCAGAACCCAAAAAAACACAACACUCACCACAAGUUGGAGUGAGCAGUGGAUCUAAGCUAAGUCUUACAGAUGCAUUCACCGAUUAAUCUACACAAAUUCAAACAAAAAGAAUAUUAAUAUCAGCCAAAAGAACACAACGACUAUAAGUUUAAGCUAAAAACACAAAAUUAAACCUUUGGGUUAACAAAAUCGAUCAAGUACUUGUUAAUUGUUCAAUUUCUACACUCAAACCGCAUCAGAUCCGCUAAUUAACAGAGCAUAACCAUUCAAAUACUCACUCAAUCAGAUCUAACAACCAGUAAUAUAAUAAAAAACGAAUACCCAGAUCCAAAAAAUUUAAAUUACAAUAAAAAUCAAAUCAUGCGUUACGCAAAUGCAACAGAUCCAUGAAAAAUUUGAGAAAUUGAGAACGAACCGUGACAGAUCUGGAACCGACACGGAUGAGCGGCCGUGGUGCGCGAGAGCGAAGCAGAAUCCCGGCGUCCCCUUUCGCUUAAUAUUAUUCUGCUGACAUUAUCGCGAACAAGCUCAGAGGGGGUGAGGUGAGGGAACUAACUGCUUUGUUAAAAAAAAAUUGGUGCGAUUGGAGAUGGGGAAUUUGUUCUCUACGCACUCAAGUCAUACGGUUAUAUAGGGCCCCAUCCCACUGUUGAAACAAAGUUCGAUUGGACCUUGCAUUGGAUGGGCGGUUUUCAUUUGUUUUUCCUUCCUACAAACUUACAAUGUUACAGAUAAAACUGAUUUUUGAAAAUAUGUACAAAUAAAUCGUAUUUGCCGAGUCUGAUAGCGUGUGUUUGUAACUAAGUAGUACAUUAAAGUGAUUGAUUACAUGAUGAAUGAGUAAAGUUGGUGAGUAAUUUAUUAUCAUGUUGACAUCAAAUUAAGUUCGUUGUAAGCCCUCAAGUUAGUCGAGGGCAUAUGUCGACUGGUAAAUAGUAAAUCACCUUGUGAAAUCACAAAUAGAUCAUAGGACAAUUAGCAUGAAGGAACAUUUUUUGAUAUUUGGAUUUGGUUGCAGAAAUCAAUUGUCGUCACGUCAUUAUUGUGUGGUCGUUAGAUUAUCAAUAUGUCGUCGUUAUUAAAAACUGAUCAUUUCUGUAAUCAAAUGUUAAAAAGUGAUCAUUCUUGCUAAUUGCCCUAGAUCAUAAUUAGAUUUGACAUAUCACUUAAACAACAAAACUUCUCAAUAUGUUAUUUCAAAUUGAAAUUUGAUGUUUGGAUUUUGGAUUUUGACAUAUAUCUCUUUGAAAAUCGCUCUUUGAUAAAAAAAAAUUAAAAAAAAUUAAAAAAAACAAAUAUAAUUAGUUAUUGACAUUUUACCAAAAAUUUAUGCACUGACUAUAAGUAACGACAUUCUCUAUUCAAGAGUAAAACCUUCUAUGCGUAUGAGAAUUAUUUUUUCAGCAAGCUGCAAUUACAUCGAUGAUAUAUACACAAGUGGUUUAGCUACUUUCAACUCUUUAGUAUCUUGUUAACCAUCAUCAAAAUUGUACAUUGUGUACUCACUUUUCAUCUGACUUAAACAACUCAGCAACUAACCGUCUUGUCUUAUACCUAACUAAAGGUUACUUAUCUCGCCCAAGAAAUGGCAACAAUUGAGAUUAAAAUAGUGAACGGAUGUGUAACGCGUGAGAAUCUGCACAGAUAAACUGAUUGUGAUUUGAGAACCUUUCCGUUUGAUCAUUAUUAUGCUUUAUGGUAACGAAACUGCAUUGUUAUCAUCAUUAUUAUGUGUUUUGUUGGUUAGCAAUUUUGUAAGUAAAAUCCUCAUCAAGGUUUGUGGCUGUAAAACUUCAACCUUUAUCAUUAUGGUGGUGAUUAUAUAGCAAUAUUUUCAAUAACGUUGCAAUCACUGUAUUUGGUAGGAAUGUAUAAACAUGGAUCUACUUUUUUCUACAUCCGAAACACAUUUGGAAGUAAAGGUUAGAAACUUAAGCUUCAAGCCAAGAUGUGUCAAAUACAAUCUUUAUGUCCUUUCUAAUACUAUCUUUAGCUAAUUCACGAUACCAACUGUGUUUUUGUCUUGAUCUCGACCAGUUUCAUGAAAAACAAGCUCGCAUUUACCUCAUAAGAAUGAAUUAUAUAAAACGAAUUUACCAUUACAUAACGUCUUUUCCAAUAAUACAAUGUCAUUUUAAAAAAUUGACACAUGUAAUUAAUUUUUAUUAGAACAAGACAUCACGGUGGCGAUGAAUCCGUUCCGCGUAAGUUGUUCUUCAAGCUCAAUUGUAGAUAGCAAGGCUCUUAACCUUGUAGUAGUGGGUUUGUGCUAUCCGGUAGCAGUUUUGGUUACUUUAUAAAUACAAAAUUAUUUGUUAGUAAAUUCGAAUAUGAAUAAGCAACGAAAGUUUGAAUAAACGUUUUAAAUGAAACAAAGUUCUCAAACUUACAACAAAAAAAUAUCUAUUAGUUACAUGCAUUAAAUAUCGUUGUAAAUGAGGAAUUUUUUUUAUGAAACUGUCAUAUGGCGUUACAAGCCGAUUCAUAUUUGUAGCACUUGCUUUAUUUAUUAAUUAUGUUUUGUGAAAGAGAAAUUCCAAGGAAACGUUCUUAAAGUGUGACUUUUUCUGAACUCUUUGCCGCAAUUUAACAUUAAUUCUUGUGCCAAUAAUAUAAAGUAUUAUGCAAAAAAUAUAAGGUGUUAGAGAGUUCAUCGAGAAUCCUAAUUUUGAACAAAUUUCCUUAACAUUUCUCUUUGUAAAAUAUAAUUCAUCGAUUAUCUAUACCAUAACACGUGAAACAACGAACUUAACUAAGAACAAAUGCAUGUAUGCACCAUACGUCAACUAUGAAGUCUAGCAACAUUACUUAGGGUUCUAAUAUAGCUCUUUUAACAUGUCAUUUCUCACAGAGUCACAGACAACCAUAACAAACAACAAACAAAGGCCAAAUUAUAUUAAUUGUACAAACGUUACUUAAUGGAACUUGAGGCUGGUCAAGAUGUUGUUGUGAACUGGGUCAGCCAAAUGAUCCAGAAGGUUCUGGUAAGGCCCCACACCAGUCACAAGACCCUGAAUAAAAUAACCCAAUAUUGCCAGCAUGGCAAGCCUCCCAUUCUUCACUUCCUUGAGCUUUAACUCGUUCAACGACUUUUCAUCUUUCCCAAACCCUAGCGGGUUGAACAAGGGCCCACCAGGGUAAGCCGGGUUCCCGGACCCACCCAAGUACUUCUCAAACCCCAAGAAGUAUUGCUUGCCCAUGGACCCGGGGUUGUACCAGUCCUGGAACCUCCGGUGCUCGGCGAACCCCAUUAGGGCAAGUUCAAAGACAAAGAGCGUGUAAGGGUCGGCCCAGUAGUUGUAGGUCCCGGCUGGCGGGAUGACCCCUGUUUGAAACCAGGGCAGGGCAGUCUCGGGCGGGAUUAGGCCGAGCUUGCCCAAGAUUUC
This 52366-nucleotide long non-coding RNA is filed under the name Malus domestica (apple). RNAcentral describes it as "long non-coding RNA (MDOM_LNC008026)". Lineage: Eukaryota; Viridiplantae; Streptophyta; Magnoliopsida; Rosales; Rosaceae. The record is from RNAcentral.